RNAcentral lists this long non-coding RNA (70587 nucleotides) under Pelobates cultripes (western spadefoot toad). Lineage: Eukaryota; Metazoa; Chordata; Amphibia; Anura; Pelobatidae. The record is from RNAcentral.
GACCUCAAUGCAGUGCUCUCGUGCAUGCUUACAAGAUUACAGCAGUGACGUCUGCUCCUGGAACUGAAGUGCCAGGAGGCGAAGAGGACCCACCGGAGGAAGAUGGCUGAACUACAAAAGAGAGGUUCAGGUAACUAAAUAUCACCUUUACCUGUUCCCCCUAGCCACCGGACCCUAAGCCACCAUAUUCCAUUAUCAUAUUCCAAUCUGGGUAUCAUUACAAAAUGUAAUUACAUCCAAGGAGAACUGUAUGUUCCUCAGCAGUAAUCUAAAUACAAAUAUACUGUUUUGCCCUAAGCUAUGUGCUAGUUAUAGACCCCAGGUUUAUUAUUUUUUAAAAUUGUAUACAAUUUAUGGUGACGGGAUUACUUAAAUAUGUGAUAUCAGGCAAAGGCUGGGUGAUGUAUAUUACUAAUUACCUAAAUAAAUCAUUUAAAAAAAUUACAACACUAACAUAGAUUUGCAAUGGAUACAGUCUGUGUUGAUAUCUUUAUAUAUUAAACGUAAAGGAAAUGUGACAAGUUGGGAUGUAUUUGAUAUUUACAUACAUUUGUUUGAAACAAAAUAUGUCCAAUAGCAGCUGAAUGGAAAAAGAUAGAUUCACACUUUUUUCACUAAAAGCCAAAUUGCAGUAAAUUGCAAUCUAUAUAUGGUAAAAUUAAUUUAUUUUAGAUUUAAUUUUGCAAUUAUAUUUCAACUCAUUAUCAUUUCUUCUUUAGUUAGCUGACCAUGCAUCAAGCCAGUCAGUGUUUUACACUAAAGCAGGGCAUUUGGGGAAUUUAAAAUGUCCUGUAAUAUUUUUAUUUUUCAAAAAAUUAGCAAAAAAGGACCUGUAGACCUUAUCUCCAUGCAAUAUGCAAUACCAAAGACCUUAUCUCCAUGCAAUAUGCUUAUUUUUAUUUUAAGGGAAUAUUGCAAACCAAUAAUCAUAGGUUCAGUUAAAAGCAGGAUGCAACUAUUUACACUAGAAAAAAUGUGUAAGGUCAAUCUGAACCAUAUUUAACCCCUUAAGGACACAUGACAUGUGUGACAUGUCAUGAUUCCCUUUUAUUCCAGAAGUUUGGUCCUUAAAGGACCACUAUAGUGCCAGGAAAAAAAACUUGUUUUCCUGGCACUAUAGUGCCCCCACCCUCAGGGACCCCCUCCCGCCCGGCUCUGGAAGGGGGAAAGGGGUUUAAACUUACCUUUUUCCAGCGCUGGGCGGGGAGCUCUCCUCCUCCGAUCCUCCUUCUCUCCGCCCAUUCGGCUGAAUGCGCACGCGCGGCAAGAGCUGCGCGCGCAUUCAGCCGGUCUCAUAGGAAAGCAUUUACAAUUUACAAUGCUUUCCUAUGGACGCUUGCGUGCUCUCACUGUGAUUUUCACAGUGAGAAUCAUGCAAGCGCCUCUAGCGGCUGUCAAUGAGACAGCCGCUAGAGGCUUUGGAGGAAGGCUUAACCCAUUUAUAAACAUAGCAGUUUCUCUGAAACUGUUAUGUUUAUAAAAAAAUGGGUUAACCCUAGCUGGACCUGGCACCCAGACCACUUCAUUAAGCUGAAGUGGUCUGGGUGCCUAGAGUGGUCCUUUAAGGGGUGAGAGAUUUCACCUGCAGCAGUAUAAAUGGUUAUACACAAUAUUAGCAAUAAAGAUAUGUAAUUCACUGUCUAGAGCAGGGAUAGGCAAUCUCUGGCACUCCAGCUGUUGUGAACUACAUCUCCCAUGAUCCUCUUUUAGUUAUACUGCCGAGAGAGCAUCAUGGGUGAUGUAGUCCACAACAUCUGGAGUGCCGAAGGUUGCCUACCCCUGGUCUAGAAAGCAUUGUGCUGUCAAAUUGAAUAAACGUUCUCCCAGUACUGAGCACUCUUACAUUUCCCCCUUCUGUGUUUCUUGUGAUUCCUCUCUUUAUAUAGUACAUUUUCCUCACGAUUUGCCUUUGGUUAUUAUUUCUAUUUAAUUAAAUUUUGUUUCAUUGUUUUCCUUUUUGUGACCCUCCUGUCUAUCUUUUAACAUGGCUUUGAAUGUCCUGUUUUUAUGCCUCGUUUUUGUCCGUCCUCCCUCUUGUGCCAUAGAGGUAAGGGAAUAAGACAUUGGUGCAUUAACUGCCAUGUAAUCUAAUAUUAUCCUGUAUUUACCUUAUCUGCAUACAGGUUUCCUGCAUAACUGGGAACGCAGCUGCUGGAUUUUGAUAAAAUGUUGGUGCAGAGCAGAAAGAACAGCUGUCGUGGUCCUCUUGGAAAGAGCAAUUAAACUCUGACUCAGGUAAUACCCAGGCGUUACUGGAAGGUAGCGCUCCAGAACUGAAGAACACAAAAACCAGUAUUGUAAACAGCAACUCUAAAAUCUUCAAAACUUUUACACUGAAUGAAAUAUAACGCACACACACACAAAUUACAAGCAAUAUAAUUCUAAAUUGAAUGAGAUAUGUUUCUGAAAAUGGUAAAGUCCACUGCGCUUAAAUCAGGAGAGUUGAGCAACAAAGAAGACAUAAAAAAAACAUUUGCAGAGCAUAUGCAACAAUUCAGAUAUAAAGAUCGUGACAGACUCGUGCAUUGUGAAAAAAAAUGAUGUUCAUGGAUUUGUCAGGAAAAAAAAGUGUUUGUUGAUUAGGAAUUUGUCUAUGUGGUGUUUCGGUGUCAUCUAUGUAAUCAUUUUGAGAAAAAACUAUUUGGAUGAAUCAAAAAGGUGCAAUAAUGGGCCAAUCAGUGUACUAAUACAUUUUACCCCCAUUUGGUUCACUGAUCAAGUGAAAAAAAAAAAGAACCAAAAGAGAGAAAAAAUAAAAAAUAAAAUCUACAUUUAUGUGAUUUUUACAUUUAUUAAUAGAUUUAAUAUAUAAAAAUAACAAUAUAGAUUUUUAUUUUUUUUAAAUCUAUCUAUGAUUAAAUCAACAUUUAGUGGCUGUCCCCUAAACUUUUUCCCCUCAUCGAUCACCUCUUUUAUUGGCGCCACGAACGGAACUCAAAAUCACGAAUCAAACUAAACAGUUUGUCCAUUGUCCAUUUAGUUUGUUGUUUGUUGUUUGUUUCAAUUUUUUUCCCCAGUUUCUAUACAUCCACAAAGCGUUUCGAAGUUACAGAAUUCGUAAGAAAAGACGAAUCGCAAUUUGUUCGAAAUCGAAUGCACAAGUUUGGAUCAUCAUACCAUGAGCCCCUUGUGCUAAAUGCUUAUCUGGCAUAUAUGCCUCUUGAGCUGUUGAAAUCUGUAUUUGGAAGUAACGCUGGCAUGUGACUGAUGAAAGCGUCAACGUUUUUUUUUUUUUCUCUUGGAAUGUGGUGGAAGUGUUUGUACAAUGCAUCGGUCACUGAGCUGCUUAAUAUUUCCGCUUGGGAUUUAAUUCUUUCUCCAUGACGCUUAACCCUAUCCAUGCAAAGGAACUUAAUCAGUAAAAAAAGUAGCUGUCACAAAGUUCCCUACCGGCUUGUUACACUAUAAUUUAUUCUACUUUUCCCGUCCUUCCCUGAUUUUUGACUUGUGUGCCAGGAAAGGUCACAGACCAGACAUACAAGGGCCUGGACAAUUAGCUAUCAGUAAAGGAGCAUAGGAGGACAUGGAAAGAGGUGGAGGCGGCUUAUAUUUACCGGGUGAAAAAAAUUGUGAACACAGAGAAAAAUGACUUCUAUAGUAACUUUAUCCUGACUAUGGUAAGUAUAUUGUUGGCUCCAAAAGAAGGAUCGAAUUUGUUUAAAGUUACAUCUAUAAAAAUAUAUCAGCUGUAUUGUUUAUAAUGAAAUUUCUUCAUCACUUCUGUUUUGGACAAAGUUUUUAAAAAAUAACUUGUAAUAUAUUAGGGUUUUCAGCGAUAGAGUACAGCACAGAGUAUCUUCUCAGCCAAAUUUUAAUCAAUUGCACAUGGCCACUAUACAAUGUCAGCUGGUAGCAAGUCGCUGUAGAGACAUAGGGUUUUUCUCACUAAACAGCAAAUUGUAGUGAAUUGAAAACAGAAUGUAAAAAUUCACGUCAAAACAGUUAUUUGGAAAAAUUCUCUAAUCAAAGCUUGGCUAUUUUAGCAUGAUCUUUGUUUAUAUUUUAUAUUUAUAUGGUGGUGAUGUAAGCUUAUUGAGCAGGGCCCCCCACCUCUCUGUUCCUGUACGUCCAGUUGUCUGGUUACAAUGACAUGUCUGUUAGUCCACCCAUUGUACAGCGCUUCGGAAUCUGAUGGUGCUAUAUAAAUAAUAAAAUAAUAAUCCACUGAAUCCAAGCCAACUUAUCGAUGAUGUGGCUCAACAGCUGGGCAGUUACCUGAUGACCUUUAAUCUCUGUUAUCCACUGAUGUUACUGGUGUCGAUAGGACUUUUUAUCCUUUAAUGUAGACUAAUACUACGGAGCUUACAAACACUCAUUAAAUAUAGUUCUGGACUAUAUCUCCCAUAAUACUCUUAUAGCUAUAAUGCUGGCAAAGUAUCAUGGGAGAUGUAGUCCACAGCAUGUGGAGUGCUGAAGGUUGCCUAACCCUGAUCUAAUAUAAACAUAAUAAUCUUACAUAAAUUUAUAGCUCUACUUGCCAACAUUGGAAGAUGGAGAUUUGUCAUGUCUGGGGGUGUGAUAUAGAAGAAACAUGCCAGCCUCAUAUGUAUGUCCGCCAAGCCACAAGCAAAAAUACUUCUCUGAUGCCCUCAUACGUGUUGACAAUUUCUAUCAUUAAUUUCUCCAAUGUCGCAGAGAAAACAACAUCAAAGAAAGAAAUAAUUUUAAAAAGCCACAUUUGGGUUCAAAAUCACAAGUUGUCUGCCAGAUGCAGGGCGGUUGGAAAGCAGGUCAAUUACAGAUUAAUGCGUCACUGUCACUUUAAGACUUUUUAAAAAUAAUUUUACCUGUCCCUCCAUAUCUCUUUGUUUUUAUUUAUUUUUUUUGUUUUGUUUUUACUUAUUCGUAAAAUAAAUUAGCUAUUGUUCCUUAUGGGGAGUGUAAUCUUUGUUGAUACAUCAGUCCAUAGAAUCCAACAAAAAGGGCAGACUGCAGACAUCAUGGACAGACGAGAAGAAAAAAUAAUAAAUAUAAAUAAACAUUUCUAAACACAUUCACAAUCUCCCCAUUCAUUAAAGGAACCCUCCUAGCACCAUAAUCACUUCAGUGCACUUCAGGGAUACCCUUGUGCCCUCUCAGGAUAAAUAAUCAAACCAUUUGAAAAUGGUUUAACAGCUUACAUGAAGUUGGCCAGAUGCCAGUGAUGGCCUUAAGAAAGACUAAGAAUCUCCUGCAUGGAACUUGCAUUAGCUCUCUUGAUUUGAGCAGUGUGGGCUAGCUCAUUGUCUUAAAAUAUCGGCUAGUGCAGCGAUGGCGAACCUAUGGCACGCGUGUCACAGCUGGCAUGACAAGCCCUCUGUGGGCACGCAGCCAUAGUUCGCCGGGGGGGUGCCACAAUUGCCCCCCCAAGAGUCAAUGCUCUCUCCUGCAGGGCCGGUGCUAUCCAAACUGCUGGGUGCCUUCACAGACCCUGCUGGGUGCCUUCACGGACCGCAGGGGAGAUCAGAGAUCUCCCUCACCAGUCCGCAUGCACAUUGCCGCAGGGGAGGGAGAGGAGACCCGGGAGCUCUAGCUUGUAGUUCGGCUGGGUUUCCUCUCACUAGUACAGAGCAUUGCCUUGGUUACCAUGGCAAUGCUCCGUUCUCAUGAGAGCCCAGGAGAUGCAGGCUAGAGUUCACUCCCCACUAGAACCGCCAGGGCUUCUCGUCUGGACCACCAGGGCUUCACAAUCGAUAUCACCCAUCCCUGGACCAAGAUAAGAAGGGAGGGGGGAUAUAAAGCAUAUUUUUUAAUUAAAAAAACUUUAUUUGUUUUAAUCAGCCCCCAACUACACACACAUUGUCCCCACUGCACCCCCAUACACACACUGCCCCCACUGUACCCCCAUACACACACUUAUCCCCAUACAUAAAGUGCCCCCACUGUACCCCCAUACACACACUGCCCCCACACACACACACUUCUCCCCCAUACACACACUGCAACCCACACACACUGGCCCCACCAUACACUCACACACUUUUCCCUCCCCCGUACACACACACACAGUGCACACCCAUACACACACUGCACCCCACAGAAACACUGCACCCCCAUACAAACACUGCCUCCACUACACCUCAUAAACACUGGCCCCAUACACACAGUGUUCCCACUGCAACCCAUGUAUACACUCCACUCCCAUGCACACACUACCCCCCUAGUUCGGACAACUGUGUGAGUUGUUUUUUUUUUAAACUUAAACCUCAGUAUUCAGGUUUAAUUGCCGUGUUGGCACUUUGAGGGAAAAAAAAGUUGGUUUGUAUUAUGGUUUGGGCACUCAGGCUCAAAAACCAUCACUGGGCUAGUGCUUUUACCUAGUGGGCUAGUGAAGAAAGCUUAAGGCUCUCCUGGAGGAAGAGACCAGCACCUGGAGGACACCAGGGACAUUGUCAAACCAUUUGCAAACAAUUCGACUGCUUACUCUAGGAUGGCGCCAGGGUACUUAUGUAGUUAUGGUGCGUGAGUAACAAGAAUGACUUCUCUGGCAUUUUUUGAAAGUCUUACGUGAAGCUUUCCAUGUUCCUUUUCCUAUGGGAGGAAUUCCUGUUAUCAAAAUUAUUUUACUAUUUCAUUAUUCCUUAGUGUCAGGAUUUCCUUAUACCAUGGUCUCACAUUUGGAGCUUUGUGUGCAUUUUGCCGCCAUCUAGAGGCCAGUCACAGAAGUGCAUAUAUAAUAGAUCUGUACUUUGAACGCAUACAUUUAUUUAUUUAUUGUUAUAAGUGUGGCAUAUUCACAUUGCAAAUUAAUAAGUUAUCAGCAAGGUGUAGCAUAAUGCAUGGUUAGGUAGCAGGUCUCCAAUCAGAGUGAGCAUAUUUUUUAAUUAUUGAUUGAUCUGUCUUGUGAGUUUAUACCAAACACGUCAAGCUUGCAGCCCAUGGGCCACAUGCCUAUGACUAUCUUUGCGGCCCACCUGCCCUGUGGCCACUUUGUGUUGUGGCUGCAACUGAUUCUUGUCUUCCCUCCCAUGACCAAUCGCGUGCUCCUGUGGCCACAAGAGCUCAGAGUGGCUGUCUGCAGAGCAGGCCAGCCACUUCCCCUUCCCUCCUACUCGAAGUGCCAGAGGAGCAUCUGGCUUACUUUAGCAGAGAAGAGCAGGGCUGGAACUUGAGUACGGGCAGCUCAUCUCAAGGUAGGGGAAGAGGGGCUUGGGGGAGGGGGGCAGUGUAUUAAAGGACCACUAUAGUGCCAGGAAAACAUACUCGUUUUCCUGGCACUAUAGUGCCCUGAGGGUGCCCCCACCCUCAGGGUCCCCCUCCCGCCCGGGUCCCCCUCCCGCCCGGCUACCUUUUUCCUUCGCUGGGCGGAGAGCUCUCCUCCUCCGAUCCUCCUUCUCUCCUCCCCGUCGGCUGAAUGCGCACGCGCGGCAAGAGCUGCGCGCGCAUUCAGCCGGUCACAUAGGAAAGCAUUCAUAAUGCUUUCCUAUGGACGCUGGCGUGCUCUCACUGUGAAAAAUCACAGUGAGAAGCACGCAAGCGCCUCUAGUGGCUGUCAAUGAGACAGCCACUAGAGGAAUAGGGGGAAGGCUUAACCCAUUCAUAAACAUAGCAGUUUCUCUGAAACUGCUAUGUUUAUGAAAAAAUGGGUUAACCCUAGCUGGACCUGGCACCCAGACCACUUCAUUAAGCUGAAGUGGUCUGGGUGCCUAGAGUGGUCCUUUAAUUUGGGAGAGGGAGGGAGGGUAGCAGUGUAUUAAAUUGGUGAUAGAGGAGGCAGUGUAUUAGUGGUGAAAGGGGAGGGGCAGUGUAUUAGAGUGAUGGAAGGGGGGCAGUGUGUUAAUGUUGUAGGAAGGCAGUGUAUUAAAUUGGGGAGGGAGGGGGCAGUGCAUUAAAUUAGAGUGGUGGGAGUAGAGGCAGUGUAUUCAAUUAGAGUGGAGGGGGGCAGUGUAUUAGAUUUGUGGGCAGUGUAUUAGAUUGGGUCUGCAUGGAGACGCUUAAUGCUCCCCAGUGGUGUACACACAAUCCAUGGGGCCCCGAUGUGAAACUGAUCUAUACCCUCCUCCCUCUCUCUUCGCCCCCCCUCUUUCCCUCCCUCUCACCCCCUCUCAUUCCCCUCUCACCUGACAGACACACACACACACACACACACACAUACAUACAGACACACAUACAUACAGACACAUACACACAUAGACACAGAUAGACAGAUACAUACAGACACAUUCACACAGACAGACAUACACACAAGACACACAUACAUACAAAGACACAUACAUACAUACAUACAUACAGACACACACACACACAGACACACAUAGACACAGACACACAUAGACACAGACACACACACACACACACACACACAUACAAAGACACAUACAUACAUACACAGACAGAUAUAUACAGACAGACAUACUCACAGACACAUACAUACAGACAGACACACACACACACACACAUACACAUACAAAGACACAUACAUACAUACAAACAGACAUACAUACAUACAAACAGGCACACACACAGACAUACAGAUACACACACAUACACACAGACACACAUACAGACCGACAGACACAGACACAUACAUACAGACACAUACACACACAGACACGCACGACACACAAACACAUACAUACAAACAAACAAACACACACACAUAUACAAAAUGUUAAAGUCACCCCCCUGUUUCCUACCUUUUAGGUGCAGGAGGCUGACUUUCCCUGGGGUCCAGUGGUGGCUCAGGUUGAUGGGAAUCAGAGUUCCUACUCUGACUCCCUCUUCUUCCUCCCACAUAGCUCUCUGAUAGCUGGGAGGAGUGACCGAUGAUCAAGUUUGAUGAUCUCAGCCAAAGUGCAGAACACACUCAUAGGACUUCAAAAUCAACAAGAUAACAUAAUCUGCUUUUUACAGCUGUGCAACAGCAUACAUUCACCAUUUCAAUCCCAUUGCCAAACGUUUCUUAAAGGACCACUAUAGUGCCAGGAAAACAUACUUGUUUUCCUGGCACUAUAGUGCCCUGAGGGUGCCCCCACCCUCAGGGUCCCCCUCCCGCCCGGCUCUGGGGAGAGGAAAGGGGUUAAAACUUACCUUUCUCCAGCGCCGGGCAGGGAGCUCUCCGCUUCCGAUCCUCCUCCUCUCCUCCCUUUCGGCUGAAUGCGCACGAGCGGCAAGAGCUGCGCGCGCAUUCAGCCGGUCUCAUAGGAAAGCAUUUACAAUGCUUUCUUAUGGACGCUUGCGUGUUCUCACUGUGAUUUUCACAGUGAGACUCACGCAAGCGCCUCUAGCGGCUGUCAAUGAGACCGCCGCUAGAGGCUUUGGAGGAAGGCUUAACCCAUUUAUAAACAUAGCAGUUUCUCUGAAACUGCUAUGUUUAUAAAAAAAUGGGUUAACCCUAGCUGGACCUGGCACCCAGACCACUUCAUUAAGCUGAAGUGGUCUGGGUGCCUAGAGUGGUCCUUUAAUAUGUCAAGGUAGUUGGACUGAAACAUUGGCUAUGGCUAUGCAAAUGCAUGUCUCCUUAAAAUAAUUUUUUUCUUUUGUUUAAUUUGAAGCCUUACAAGCGUGAGGACGUCCAGUGUCAGUUAGGCAACUUUGUUUAUACUUUACUUUUCUAAAUAAAUCUACGUUUCUACGAAACUGAAGUUUUUAAUUUAUUUGGCCGUGUUAGCUUUUGAAUUUGACGUGCUUGGUUUAUACAUUAACCGAAUACACCCUAUUAAGGCAAACCUUAAUAAUUACGUGAGAAAACAAAAAAUAAAACCUUAGAUAUAUAGUAGCAACUAAUUUUUUUUUUUUUUUUGCAGAACUCCAAAACUUUCUAAGGCAGUAAAUACGUUAAAAGGGAACCGUCAGUACCCAGUAUUUGAAAUAGUAUGUUUACUUAUCCCUAUAUUUAACAAAUAUUGAUUUGAGUUAAAAUAAAAUGUAGAGAUUCACACCUCUUUAUCCUGAAAGUGGCCACCUCCAUCUUGGCUCCCUGUCAAUCAUUGUUAUAAGUUCCGUCCUUUGCACUUGGCAGUCAAUACAGAGAGAGCACACAGGGAAGAGGAGAAAUUAAACAAUGUUUCUAUGUAUUUUUACCCUGGCUUUGCCUCAUGUGAAAUGAAUCAUGAAUGUAAACGUGUUGAAUCAUUAUUGUAAAUGUACCAUCCUGUGUAAAGGUUAACGCAAGUUAUAGCUUUGUAACAAAAUGUGGACAAUGUAUACUCUACAGGGGAUUACUCCCACUCGGGUGUUCCAGAAAGGGAGGGCAAAUCCCCAAAGACCCCAUGGAAAAUGCAAACUGACGUCCUGGCACACUUAGUGGUGUCUUGUAAUAGCAAUCUUUUAUAUGGAAACAGGAUAAAGCAGCAAUGUUUCAGCUCUUUCAUGAGCCUUUGUCAAGACUUGCUAUUAGAAGAAACCACUAGGUGUACCUGAACGUUCUUUUGAAUUUAACACACGUUAUAGGUGUUUUAUUCCCAAUGUGUAAAUUCUGACCGUUCCAACUUAAAGGGACUCUCCAGUGCCAGGAAAACAAACCAUUUUCCUUUCACUUCAGGUCCCCUAUCCCUCCCACCCGCCAUCCCAGGUUGCUGAGGGGGUUAAAACCCCUUCAGUGACUUACCUGUAUCCAGCGCCGAUGUCCCUCGGCGCUGGGUCAGGCUCCGCCAACUCUCCUCCCCCGCCGACGUCAGCCGGCAAGGGAGACCUAAUGUGCAUGCUUUCCUAUUGGGAUUCCGGCAACACUGGAGGUCCUCAUGCAUUGCGUGAGGACGUCCAGCAUCUCUUAAAACACUAAAAAUGUUUUAAGAACCCGGAAGCUCUUCUAGUGGCUGUCUCAUAGACAGCCACUAGAGGAGGACUUAACCCUGUUAGGCAAUUAGUACAGUUUAUGAAAAACUGCACUAAUUACACUUGCAGGGUUAAGGGUAGUGGGAGUUGGCACCCAGACCACUCCAAUGGGCAGAAGUGGUCUGGGUGCCUAGAGUGUCCCUUUAACCCCUUAAGGCCUAAACUUCUGGAAUAAAAGGGAAUCAUGACAUGUCACACAUGUCAUGUGUCCUUAAGGGGUUAAAGAUGUGCUUUAAGUACCAUAAACACUACAGUUAUGGGUGAUUACGGUGCCAUGUCUAUGGGUUCCAUAGCCUUUAUUUAUCUAACUGUUUUGUAGCAAUAGACCUCCCCUCUUCUGCUGCACUGUUAAUAGGACAAUUAAACCCCCACAUUAUGACAAGUGAAUCCAUUACAAUUAGAAAGCUGAAGGCUGUUACAUGACUUGAUAUGACAGAAAUACACAGAUAUAUUAGCUUGAUUAGAGCUCUAUUUCUAAUCUAUAUAUAGUGUCUGUUUGUCCUGCUGCUUUGAAAGGACAAUCUAAGCACCAGAACACAACAGCUUAAUGUUAUUGUUCGGGUGUAAAGAGACUGUCCCUGCAGGCAGGGCUGCCAUCAGAAAUUUUGGGGCCCCUAACAAAUCACAAGGUCUGGGCGCCCCUCCCUCCACCCCCCAGCCCGCUCAUGAGUCCGCACACAGGAUUCCUACCUAGUCAGCUGUCAAUGAUGCACGACUGAAUGUGGUGUGUAUAGUGGAAGUGAAUUAGAAUGUGUGUAAUGGAUGUAGUGUUUGUGUGUAUUAGAUACUGUUUGUGCAGUGAAUGCAGAGUGUGUGUUUGUGUAGCGGAUGCAGUGUGUAUAGUGAACGCAGAGCGUGUUUGAGUAGUGGAUGUAGUGUGUGUACAGUGAUGUAGUGUGUGUUUGCGUAGUGGAUGUAGUGUUUGUGUGGACUAGAUGCAAUGUGUUUAGUGGAUGCCGUGUCUGUAAUGGAUGUAGUAGUGUGUGUAUUAGACACAGUGUCUCUGUAUAGUGAAUGCAGAGUGUUUGAAUGUGUGGUGGUUGUAGUGUGUGUACUGUGAAUGCAGGAUGUUUGUGUAGUGGAUGCUGUGUGUAUAAAUAAUGCAGAGUGUAUGUCAGUGUAAUGGAAGCAUUGUGUUAGUGUAGUGAAUGCAGUGUGUGUUAGUGUAGUGUGUGUUAGUGUAGGGAAUGCAGUGUGUGUGUUAAUGUAGUGAAUGCAGAGUGUGUGUUAGUGUAGUGAAUGCAGAGUGCGUGUCAGUGUAGUGAAUGCAGAGUGUAUGUCAGUGUAAUGAAUGCAGAGUGUGUGUCAGUGUAAUGAAUGCAGUGUGUUUGUUAGUGCAGUGAAUGCAGUGUGUGUGUUAGUGUAAUGAAUGCAGUGUGUGUUAGUGCAGUGAAUGCAGUGUGUGUGUCAGUGUAGUGAAUGCAGAGUGUGUGUCAGUGUAAUGAAUGCAGUGUGUUUGUUAGUGCAGUGAAUGCAGUGUGUGUGUUAGUGUAAUGAAUGCAGUGUGUGUUAGUGUAAUGAAUGCAGAGUAUAUGUUAGUGCAGUGAAUGCAGUGUGUGUGUUAGUGUAAUUAAUGCAGAGUGUUUGUUAGUGUAGUGAAUGCAGUGUGUGUUAGUGUGAUGAAUGCAGAGUGUGUGUUAGUGUAAUGAAUGCAGUGUGUGUGUCAGUGUAAUAAAUGCAGAGUGUGUGUUAGUGCAGUGAAUGCAGUGCAUGUUAGUGUAAUGAAUGAAGAGUGUGUGCUAGUGUAGUGAAUGCUGAGUGUGUGUUAGUGUAAUGAAUGGAGAGUGUGUGUUAGUGUAGUGAAGGCAGUGUCUGUGUUAGUGUAAUGAAUGCAGUGUGUGUGUCAGUGUAAUGAAUGAAGAAUGUGUGUUAGUGUGGUGAAUGCAGUGUGUGUGUUAAUGUAAUGAAUGCAGAGUGUGUGUUAGUGCAGUGAAUGCAGUGUGUGUGUUAGUGUAAUGAAUGAAGAGUGUGUGUUAGUGUAGUGAAUGCUGAGUGUGUGUUAGUGUAAUGAAUGGAGAGUGUGUGUUAGUGUAGUGAAUGCAGAGUGUGUGUCAGUGUAAUGAAUGCAGAGUGUGUGUUAGUGUAGUGAAUGCAGUGUGUGUUUUAGUGUAAUAAAUGCAGAGUGUGUGUUAGUGCAGUGAAUGAAGUGUGUGUGUCAGUGUAGUGAAUGCAGUGUGUCUUAGUGUAGUUAAUGCCGUGUGUGUGUCAGUGUUGUGAAUGCAGUGUGUGUUAGUGUAGUGAAUGCAGUGUGUGUUAGUGUAAUGAAUGCAGAGUGUGUGUCAGUGUAGUUAAUGCAGUGUUUGUUAGUGUAAUGAAUGCAGCGUGUGUGUGUGUUUACUAGUGUAUGCAUGUAAUAUAAUGAAAGUUAUUCCCCCCUCCCUGUUUCUUCAUGGUUCCGGGAGGGGGGAAGAUUCCAUGAUCCCUGGUGCUCAGGUGGCAUGGUGGGGCCCCCGGCUCCCUGUGUUUGCAGAGGGGGCCCAGCGGACUGCAGGAGCACUUUACAGAUCUUCCCUCUCUCUAACUCCUGCAAGAUGUGGUGUGCGCGCGGAGCAUUGCCAUGAUAACCUGUGGCAACGCUCUAACGGCCGCAUGUCUCGCGGGAGUUAGAGAGAGGGAAGAUCUGUAAAGUGCUCCUGCAGUCCGCUGGGCCCCCUCUGCAAACACAGGAAGCCGGGGGGGGGCCCGCAGCUGCAAAUGUAUAUAGCGAUCAUCUAUAUAUGUGUAUAGAGUGAUUCUGGGGCCCUGGACUGCCAAAGCAUUCCAGGCCCCCCAGGACCGCCGGGCCCGUGACAACCGUCAUAGAAACAUAGAAACAUAGAAUGUGACGGCAGAUAAGAACCAUUCGGCCCAUCUAGUCUGCCCAAUUUUCUAAAUACUUUCAUUAGUCCCUAGUCUUAUCUUAUAGUUAGGAUAGCCUUAUGCCUAUCCCACUCAUGCUUAAACUCCUUUACUGUGUUAACCUCUACCACUUCAGCUGGAAGGCUAUUCCAUGCAUCCACUACCCUCUCAGUAAAGUAAUACUUCCUGAUAUUAUUUUUAAACCUUUGUCCCUCUAAUUUAAGACUAUGUCCUCUUGUUGUGGUAGUUUUUCUUCUUUUAAAUAUAGUCUCCUCCUUUACUGUGUUGAUUCCCUUUAUAUAUUUAAAUGUUUCUAUCAUAUCCCCCCUGUCUCGUCUUUCCUCCAAGCUAUACAUGUUAAGAUCCUUUAACCUUUCCUGGUAAGUUUUAUCCCGCAAUCCAUGAACCAGUUUAGUAGCCCUUCUCUGAACCCUCUCUAAGGUAUCAAUAUCCUUCUGAAGAUACGGUCUCCAGUACUGUGUACAAUACUCCAAGUGAGGUCUCACCAGUGUUCUGUACAAUGGCAUGAGCACUUCCCUCUUUCUACUGCUAAUACCUCUCCCUAUACAACCAAGCAUUCUGCUAGCAUUUCCUGCUGCUCUAUUACAUUGUCUGCCUACCUUUAAGUCAUCAGAAAUAAUCACCCCUAAAUCCCUUUCCUCAUAUGUUGAGGUUAGGACUCUAUCAAAUAUUCUGUACUCUGCCCUUGGGUUUUUACGUCCAAGAUGCAUUAUCUUGCACUUAUCCACAUUAAAUGUCAGUUGCCACAAUUCUGACCAUUUUUCUAGUUUACCUAAAUCAUUUGUCAUUUGGCUUAUCCCUCCUGGAACAUCAACCCUGUUACAUAUCUUAGUAUCAUCAGCAAAAAGACAUACCUUACCAUCAAGACCUUCUGCAAUAUCACUAAUAAAAAUAUUAAAGAGAAUGGGUCCAAGUACAGAUCCCUGAGGUACCCCACUGGUGACAAGUCCAAGCUUCGAAUAUAUUCCAUUAACUACAACCCUCUGUUGCCUGUCACUCAGCCACUGCCUUACCCAUUCAACAAUAUUGGAAUCCAAACUUAAAGAUUGCAGUUUAUUGAUAAGCCUUCUAUGUGCAACAGUGUCAAAAGCCUUACUGAAAUCUAGGUAAGCAAUGUCUACUGCACCACCCUGAUCUAUAAUUUUAGUUACCCAAUCAAAAAAAUCAAUAAGAUUAGUUUGGCAUGAUCUCCCUGAAGUAAACCCAUGUUGUCUCUGAUCUUGAAAUCCAUGUGUUUUUAGAUGUUCAUCAAUCCUAUCCUUUAACAUGGUUUCCAUCACUUUCCCCACUACUGAAGUAAGGCUUACUGGCCUAUAGUUGCCCGACUCCUCCCUAUUACCUUUCUUGUAAAUGGGCACAACAUUCGCUAACUUCCAAUCUUCUGGGACUACUCCUGUUAACAAUGAUUGGUUAAAUAAAUCUGUUAAUGGUUUUGCUAGUACACCACUAAGCUCUUUUAAUAGCUUUGGGUGUAUUCCAUCAGGUCCCAUUGACUUAUUUGUCUUUACUUUUGACAGUUGAAAUAGAACCUCUUCCUCUGUAAACUCACGUGUAAUAAAUGACUCAUUUAUCCUUUUUCUCAACUGAGGUCCCUUUCCUUCAUUUUCUACUGUAAAUACAGAACAAAAAUAUUCAUUGAGGCAGUCAGCCUGACCUUUAUCCUCUUCUACAUACCUUCCUUCUUUUGUUUUUAAUCUAACUAAUCCUUGUUUUACUUUUCUUUUCUCAUUUAUGUAUCUAAAAAUGUUUUAUCCCCCUUUUUUACUGACUGUGCUAUUUUCUCUUCUGUGUGUGAUUUGGAAGCUCUUAUAACUUGCUUAGCCUCUUUCUGCCUAAUCUUAUAGAUCAUUUUGUCUUCCUCACUCUGGGUUUUUUUAUAAUUCCUAAAUGCUAACUUUUUGUUUUUAACUAUUUUGGCCACAUCUGCGGAGUACCACAGUGGUUUCUUGAAUUUUUUGCUUUUACUGACAAGCCUAAUGCAAUUUUCUGUUGCCUUCAAUAGUGCAACUUUUAAAUAAUCCCAUUUUCUUGGACUCCAUUUAAAUUGCUCCAGUCUGAUAAUGACUCCUCUACCCAUAUUCUAAUUUUAGAAAAGUCUGUUUUUCUAAAGUCUAAAACUUUUGUUUUUGUGUGGUGUGACUCAGUCACUGUUCUUAUAUUAAACCACACUGACUGAUGAUCACUGGAUCCUAAACUUUCACCUACAGUAACAUCUGAUACCAAAUCUCCAUUUGUUAACACUAAAUCUAGUAUGGCCUCUUUACGAGUUGGCUCCUCAACAACUUGCUUUAGAGACAACUCCCAGUAGGGAGUUUAGAAUAUGUGUGCUCCUGGCACAAGUAGCUAAUUUUGUUUUCCAAUUUACAUCAGGAAGAUUAAAGUCACCCAUGAUGAUAACUUCCCCCUUCAUUGUCAUUUUAGCUAUUUCCUCAACUAGUAGAUUAUCUAACUCUUCAAUUUGUCCUGGGGGCCUAUAAAUCACACCUACACGAGUUACUGUGUGAUUACCAAAUUCUAACGUAACCCAAACGGACUCUAUGUUUGCCUCACUAACUUUUAUUAGGCUAGAUUUUAUGCUAUCCUUCACAUACAAGGCCACCCCUCCCCCUUUCUUGCCUUCCCUAUCUUUCCUAUAUAAAGAGUACCCUGGUAUUGCUAUGUCCCAGUCAUUUUUCUCAUUGUACCAUGUCUCAGUAACAGCGACUAAAUCUACACUAUCAGUUGCCAUUAUUGCCACAAGUUCAUGGAUCUUAUUCCCUAAACUGCGAGCAUUUGUAGACAUGACUCUAAGCUUAUCAUUUUUUAACACACUUGCUACAGGCACCUUCUGUCCUUGUUUUGGGGGACAAUUGGAUUGAUGUUUUAUCACCCUUUUGCCCCCCCCCUCCUAGUUUAAAUACAUCCUAGCAAAACCUCUGAACUGCUCACUGAGAACAUUUGUUCCCUUAAAUUAAAGUCCCUAAUACGCAUCCGCCUGUCGUUCUGAGUGUUAUGCACAGGCAGAACUUCAGAGAAUGACAGUGUGGAAGCAACCUGCCGUAUAUCAUUGGCAAAAACACUAAAAACUUCCUUAACCUCUGAAACCUCAUUGCAAGCCAAGUCAUUUGUCCCUAGAUGGACAAGUACAUCCAAUUCCCCUUCCUGCUUUGCUUGCUUAACAAUAUUACAGAUAUGUCUCCUGUCUCUGUGAGCAGUAGCUCCGGGAAGACACCUCACAAGACCACCAUUGUCCAUCUCCACACCUCUUAUAAUGGAAUCACCCAACAACAACUGCUUUCUAUUAGGCUUCACCAUACUCUCCAAGCCGGUCUCCACAACACCACUAGUCUCAGUGCCUCUCUCCACAACACCACUAGCCUCAGUGCCUCUCUCCACAACACCACUAGCCUCAGUGCCUCUCUCCACAACACCACUAGCCUCAGUGCCUCUCUCCACAACACCACUAGCUUCAGUGCCUCUCUCCACAACACCACUAGCCUCAGUGCCUCUCUCUACAACACCACUAGCCUCAGUGCCUCUCUCUACAACACCACUAGUCUCAGUGCCUCUCUCCACAACACCACUAAUCUCAGUGCCUCUCUCCACAACACCACUAGCCUCAGUGCCUCUCUCCACAACACCAUUACACUCUGAAAGUGCAGAAAAUGAAUUAUGAAGAGCAACAGACUGUGCAAAAUGCCUUUUAUCCACAACUCUAAGUCUACCAGAUCCUACAGUAAUCCAUCUGCCUUUCCUAGCAUGUCUCUGCGGCAGUGGCUUUGCAGCAGUUCCAGUCUGAGUUUCUUCACCAGAUAAUUUACAAAUCUCAGACUUCAAAAAUACAAUCUCCUGCCGCAAGAUAGAGAACUGUCUACAGAUUAGACAACAACCAAACCUCCAAAAAGUGGAACGUGAAACAAAUGCAUAGCAAUUGUUACACUGAACUAAACCUGCCAUUCCAAUUAUAAGAAUAAUAUAAAUCGAACAAAUCUUAACUUUUGUAUUUAUCCUCCUGAAUACCUCAGAUUACCUCCAGGUUAUUUCCAGAAUAUCUCCAACGACACACUUAGAAACAGCACUUGGAAGUAGCACUAAGCUAUAUUAGACAAGCUAAUGGAACCAGGCCUUAUAUAACUCCUAAAAUCACCGCCCACUAGGAAUGAUUAACACCUGGGUAGGCCUCUGCUUAUUUGCAAACAAUAGCUAAUUAACCAGCAAUCAACAGCAAGUAACUAGCUUAAUCAAAUCAAAUGCCUUAUAAUUACCAAGUCAUGGUUGUCAUCCCCUGCUGGUCGCCCUGCCUGCAGGCUGAGCAGUGUAAACACUGCCACUUCUGAGGGAAAAAAUGUGUUUUUAUUACUUCCCAUGGACAACUCUAGACAAUGUUAGUCUGAGAUGCUUCCUGCUGCUCUGCAUGGAGACAAUAAACACUCUCCAUAGAGAUGCAUUGAGCUAAUGUAUCUCUAUAAAGAGAUAAUAAUUGGCGCAGAACAUCGAUUGCCACACAUGCUCAGUAGCUCUAUAAUGCUUCCUUAUGAGGAAGCAUUGCACUCGCUGAGAUCAUCGUCAUUGAUGAUCUCAGCUGGAAGGAUUGGAAGCCGCAGCAAGACGGGUGCGGCAAGGGUCAUAUGACAAGUUAUUCUACUUUUGGGAAGGGAAGAAUCUAAGUAUGAAGGGGAACAUUUUAACACUCUAUGUUAGAGUGUUUCUUUAAACUUAACCUCAUUUGAAAAAAAUGCCCUCCCCUCUAAAUACACACACUACAACCACAAGCAGCCACUAUUUACAUGCUCACACACAUAAUACACCGCAAACAGCUCCAUCCAAACACAACCCACAACCAAACAAGCAUUAUCUCCCCACACACACGCAACCCUUCAUGCAGCUUUCCCCACAUACACAACUACAUAAGUAGCAUCCGCGCACACACAAAAAUAACCCCACAAGCAGCAUUCCCAGAAACAAGCAACAUCACAAGUAGCCGAACCUCACAAAGGUAACACAAUAAGCAGCCACCCCAAACAAACAUGCACCCUCGCUUUAACGGAUCCAAUCGCAAACCUAAAACUCUUGCAUAUGUGUGUAUGUGUGUAUAUGUAUAUAUUAACUGCAACUAGCAUGCUGUCUGGUGGGAUAUCUGGAAAACUGCCACUAGACAGAAUCCUAUCUGCAGUUAAUGAGGCACUGUCCACAAUCCCAACCUACACCAUCACAGAGACCCCAUAUAACACAGCAUUAGUGGUCCUCCAGCUGCUUGACUACAAGAUCAGGCUCAAAGAGAAGUGAUGCCCACCAUGGAGACUACGACUGGAAGCCAAGAUAAAAACCACACGGAAAGAAGUUAGCAAGCUGGAUUAAAUUCACAGGGGUGGAGAGAUCAAGGAUAGAUCCUGGAUGCUGCGGAAUUACAAGGAUGUGCCCAUACCAGAGGCACUGGAAACAGCUAAGCAAAGACUGACAGCACUGGCAACCAGACUGAGCAGAUACACCAGAGAAGCAGAGACAAGAGAAUCUAUGCACUAUUUACCAAAGAACCAUUCAAGGUGUAUGCGCAGCUACUGGGUAACCACUGCGUCUCCUCCCAAGACCCACCCAGAGCUGACAGUGAACAGUACUGGGAGUAAGAAUCAUCACAUAACACCAAGACCCAGUGGCUACUAGACCUGAAAGCAGACCACUGCAUGCUGCCAGAACAGGAAUGAGUCACAAUCACAGUGAGGCAUUUCCAGCAAAGGGGAGCCCACAUGAAAAGUUGGUCAGUCCCAGGACCUGACAUGAUCCACACCUACUGGAUAAAGAAGUUAAUAGUGGUACAUGAAUGCCUAGCAGCACAAAUAACCAGCUACUAGCAACAGACUCCCACCCUGAUUGGCUAACGUAAAGCAGAACAACACUGAUCAUGAUGGACCCUCACAAGGGAACAGCACCAGCUAACUACUGACCAAUCACCUGGCUCCCCUCAACAUGGAAGGUCCUGUCAAGCAUAUCAUAGCUUUCAAGAUCGAUGCACAUUUGAGUCAGUACAUGAGCAAUACUCAGAAGGGGAUUGGAAACAACACCAGAGGAUCAAAGCAGCAACUACUGGUAGGCCACGCAGUCAUGCAGGAUUCUAAGAAGAGACAGACCAAUAUGUGCACAGUCUGAAUUGACUACAAGAAAGUCUGUGACACAAUGCCACACACAUGGAUACUGGAAGGCUUGGCUCUUUACAAGGUCAACAAGGCAAUAAAAACCUUCUUCAAGAACUCAAUGGUCAAGUGGAAAACAACUCUAGAAGCCAAUUCCAGGACAAUAACAAAAGUAAACCUCAAAUGUGGCAUAUACCAAGGUGAUGUGCUAUUUUCACUGCUGUUCUGCAUAGACCUCAGCCCCCUUAGUCAGAUCAUCAAAAAGAGUGAAUAUGGAUACAGAUACAAGAGUGGAGCUACCAUCAACCACCUACUCUACAUAUAUGAAAUUCAAGCUAUAUACCAAGAAUGAGCAGGACAUUGCCUCAUUGAUCCACCUAACUAAGAUAUAUUGCAAGUACAUCGGAAUGCCAUUCAAACUAGAUAAGUGUGGGCGGAUGAUAGCAAAAAGAGGGACGAUGAUCAGGACAGAAAGUGUUCAAGUACCAGAAGGCCAAAUAGAAGAUAUAGAGAACAGCUACAAGUACCUGGGGACACCACAAAUACAUGAGGAAUAGGCAAGGAGGAUAGCAACAUCUAAGUACCUCCAGAGAGUCAGACAGGUCAUAAAUUCCCUGCUCAAUGGCAAGAAUAAGAUCCAAGCCAUCAAUACAUAAGCCCUACCAGUCAUCAGGUAUACAGCUGGAAAAGAACCUGGCCAAGAGAAGAACUGGUUACUAUAAAUGUCAAGACCCUGAAACUACUCACUAUGAAUGGAGGAGUCCACCCGAAAUCCAGCAUCCAAAGACUGUACAUCAGUCGAAAGGAAGGAGGCCGGGUCCUGAUGAGUGUCAAGGUCACAGUCACUACGUAAAAAUACACACUGCAUCCAUUACACAGACACUGCACCCACUACACAAACACAGACACUACAUUUACUAUAUACACUGCAUUCACUACACAAACACAUGCACUGCAUUCAAUAUGCAUACACACUUUUCAUCAACAUAUACUGCAUUCACUUUCCUCACACACUUCUUGCAUUCACUAUACAAACACUGCAUCUGCUACAUACACACACUAGGAAUGUGCAUGGGCAAUUCUGCACUUCGGUUCGGCACUUCCAAAACUCAGCACUUCCGAAAUGCGGCACCUCUGAAAUUUAGAACUUCGCCAAUUCGGGACUUUAGCACUUCAGUUCGGUUUGGCACUUCUAAAAUUCAGGACUUCGGCAAUUCGGACAUUUGUAAGCAUCCAUCUCUUGCCACCACAACCACUUACACAGCUGUAUGGCUCCCUAACUCCUACCCCUAACCUUUGGUCUAGCCCUAACCAUUAGAGUUAGGGGUAGGGUUAGGUGCCUGGACUGCCACCACGACCACUUACACAUCUAUAAGGCUCCCAGUGCCAGGAAUUAGCUUAUUGGUCUAGAUUCCUGUCAUCAUUCAUGCAAUUUUCCCUCCCUCUCUUGUUUUGCCACUUUUCAGAAAUCCAAAGCACUUCAGCACUUCCGAAAUUCGGCCCUAUUGUUAAAAACUAAAAAUUGGAGUGUUUCCACUGAUAAAUUAUAAUUGCAAGAUUUUAACCCUGCUUUGUCCCUUGUCCAGGAAUAUGGUACUCAUCAUAAGGUAGUUUUGGUUAUAUAGAAAUCUCCUGAUAAAGGCUGCUUAGGACUGGGGGUGUUGCAAUGCCAACUGCAAAUAAUAGGAUUUAUAACAUUAACAUAAAAAUAAAGAAUAGAAUACAUCAGCAAUUAGGAGCACUCGUUUAGCCUUCAGUUAGUGCAGGUAAGGAUUUGCCGCAUGGAAGUCCAAGAGAUCAGUCCUGGGUGUGCCCUUGUGGGCGGUAGUUGGUCUCCCCUCCCUGCCAUCACGGCUAGGUUACCCCUGGGUUGGAGAGUCCUAUGGAGGGUCUUUCCGCUCUAUUGAUUGUGCAUCUCCGGCUAGCUUCUUUUUCCCUUGUGGGGUUCGCGGUCAACUGGGGUGCCGCUGCUUGCCGUGUCGCUGGAGGUGGUGCCGGCAGAUCAAGGCCUCUCAGGAACUCCGUGUGGUCCUCGGAGGCCAAAAGUACAUGUACUGUGUCCCCAUGUGGUACCACCAGUGUUCCCGAAAGUCCCCUUCGGUAUCUAAUGCCUUUGUCUCGAAGGAUCCGGGUGGUGGGUGCGAACCUACGCCGUUCGAGUAAGACUGCAAAAGGUAAGUCGUCCUAUACUGUGAUUUUCGUGUUGGCUAUGAGCAGACUUGGUCUUUGUCUGGACCGUGCCAUUAUAGAGGACUUCACGUUGGUGUCUCUGGUGGUGGCUAUGAUGUCCCGGGGUGCGUCCGCAGGUGCUGUGGGGGCCUUCCGGACCCUGAAGGCUGUCACUAUUGGCGGUCGCUCAGCAUCCGUCUGAACUCCGAGUUCUCUCAGGACCUCGUGGGUAAAGCUGAUCAGGGCUUCUUGGCCUAUUGACUCUGGGGCCCCACGGAUCCUGAUGUUUUUUCGUCGGUGCCGUGCCUCUAGGGAGGUAACUGUGCGGGAGAGGCGCUGUACUUGCUGGGUGAGUGUAUUUAGAUGGGAGCUGGUAUCGUCCAGCCUCUUUCCCCUCUCCACUUCCCUGCACGCCACUUCUCUCACACGGCGGUUCAGGCCUCCGACCUCCUCCUGUACUCCAGUGAGGUCGGCUUUCCAUACCUCCCUCAGGUCCCGCAGGAGGUUUUUAAUAUCUCCCUUGGUGGAGGGGGAUUUGUCUGAGUCUGAUUCAGACCUCUGGUAUAUCCCGCUGCUGGAAUUGGGUGCUUGGGAUGUCUCUUCCUCCAGUGAUCGCUCUGAGUCGCUGGAGCUGCGUGUUUCCACGGGCGCCAUAUUUAGUCGGGCCUGCGGCGGUGGUCUGGUGAAGGACAGUCGGAUAUCUGUGUUUGCGCCCCAGCUCUCUCUUGGGGGGUCCCUCAGGUGUUGGCAACGUUAAAGUUUGCUCUCUUUUGUGGCAAAAUAGGCAGUUUUGCACUUCUGGAGCGGGAGCUCAGUAAAACCUCGACCGCUCUGUAGCUUGGCUAGCCAUGCCCCCAGCAGAACAUUUUUAGAGGAUGGAGUGCUGUGUGGGAUAUCACCCAGAGUUCUGUGAAAUUGGCAUUCUCUCAUGUGGGAAAUGUAUGUUUGUUUUCAUUAUUAUUAUUAUUAUUAUUUGAGUGAAUGUUGGUAUCAGCAGUAACAGUUAAAUAAAGGUUUAUGGGAUAUGGCAUGCCAAGAUUUGCACCAAUUCCAAAUAAUAAAUAAAUAUGAUUGCUUCAGCCUGUUUCCUAGUGGGCAGAAUCCCAUGUUGGAAGCUGAAUAUUAUAAAAUAUAUAUAUAUAUAUAUAUAUAUAUAUUUUAUAGUAAGUAUUAUCUGUCUAUGAAAUGUCCCUUUAAAGAAAGCUGGUCUCUUUUUCAACCAAAUUCCAGAAGCCCAUCUGUUUGGAGUAAGAUAAGCAUACAGCUACAGGUAACAGUUUGAGUGGCCUUCUGUAAACUGUACUUUCUUUAUAAGCAUUAUAAAGAGAAAAGACUGUGUGCCAGAAUGGAUUAAAGAAUGAGUGAUGUGACCAGCAAGUGUAUGGCAGAAAGUCAUAUACUUAAUAGGAGAGGACAGGAAGUGUUUGCUGAAUUGAGAUGGAACGAUAAAUCCAGACAGUGUCAGUGUUUGUGCUUUGGGCUUUUAAGCGGAGAGUUGAAUGCAAAUGAAUGCACUUCAUUCACUGGUAGAAUCUAAAUGAGCUUGAUGCAUUCACUUUGUAUCUACGAUCAUGGAUAGGAAAGGUCAGAACUUGAGACCCCGUAGUAGAAAAGUUCAGCAAUGUCAACCAUAUACUUUAUUUGGAAGAUUAGAGUAACCUACUGUAUGAUCCAUCUGUAUUGGAAUAAGAGGAAAAUUAAAUUGCGUUAUCUGGUAGGACUCCCGAAGAACAUGAGUGAAGGGGAAGAACAAUAAAUGUAGAAUAUAUAAGAUAUUAAUAAGUGUCACAAUGCAAUUAAAGAAUGCAUAGAAUAUAGUCUAAAUAACAUACUAUACAAGAGAGAAAAACCCUGUGACAUCAUAUUUACUACACUCAGCAUUGGGGGGCGCAAGAAGAUAAGGAAUUUAUCAAUAUCAUUCAACAACUAAGAAGAGAAGAAGACAUUGCCUGUAACUACUGCCCUUUACUUGGGAUGACACAGGGAGACACAAGAAGACAAUAUGGUGAACUGUGCAUUAUGGAAAUGUAAUGCCAUUGAGGAGGGAAAUAUCAUGAAAAAUUAGGCCAAAGGUUCAUGAGCUUUACUCCUACUGAUUUCGAAUAAACCUGGACAUGUAUGUCCCAGCGCUGCCUUCAGUUAAGAAACCCUGCUGCAUGGAGGCGUCAAACCAUGUAUUACAGAAAAUAAUGCAAUGAUUUAUUUUGCACACUUUGUUGUGCGAAUUUAAAAUAGAAUCUGCCCAUUAAACAUUUGGUUUCAGCAAGGGAAGACACAAGAAGACCAUAAGCACUCUUACUGCACUCAACAUGGAAAGGCAUUGAAAGACAAUGAGGGCCCUAAAGAGUGAGGAUGUAUCUUCCUAGCACCACAUGCAGAAGCUCUACAAGAUCAUGAAUAUGUUAUACUCACUGGCGUACUUAGAGCAUUUGGCACCUGGGGGCGGAUCCUGUGUUUGACAUUCCCCUCCCCCACUUUAAAAAGGAAAAAAACACCCGCAAUAUUUUUAAUGUUUAAUGUUUUCCUUUUUAAAAUUUGCACAAAUGUGUAAAUUUUGAUAAAACCCAGUCGUGCCCCCUUCUACAAAACCUCUCUCCUGCCCGCCGAUCUACAAAACUCAUAUCCUGCCCCCGUUCUACAAAACUACUGCACCCCACUUCCACAAAUCCCCUGCUCAGCCCCUUUAAACAAAAUCCCUGUCCCCCUUCUACAAACCCCUACACACCCCUUCCAUAAACCUCUUCCUCUAAAGCCCCUGCUCAGCCCUUUACAAUAGGAUUAAUUUUUUUACACAACAAUAUUAGCAACAGUCUUCAGAGUCCUGUCCCAGGCACAUAGUCACUUGCACACAGUCACACACACAGCUACAGGCAGACAGUCGCAGACAGUCACACACAGCUAUAGGCAGUCACACAUACACACAGUCACAGGAAGACAGACACACACACACAGUUACAGGCAGGCAGUAAUACACAACACACACACACACACAAACACACAUACAGGGAGACAGUCUCACACACACACACAGGCAGACAGUAUCACACACACACACACACACAGUUACAGGGAGACAGUCUCACACAUACACACACACAGUUACAGGCAGCAGUCACACACACACACACACACAGUCACAGGCAGACAGUCACGCACACACUGUUACAGGCAGUCACACACACACACACACACAGGUACAGGCAGACAGUCACACACACACAGUCACAGGAAGACAGUCUCUCUCACACACACACACACACACAGUUACAGGCAGUCACACAUACGCACAGUCACAUGAAGACAGACACACACACACGCACACGCACACACAGUUACAGGGAGGCACUAAUACACCACACACACACAUACAGUCAAAGGCAGACAGUCACACACACACACAGUUACAGGGAGAUAGUCAUCACACACACACUCACUCACUCUCUCUCUUAAUUACAGUCAGGUUGGGCUGGAGGAGGAGUGGAUUCAGUCCUUGAUGUGUAGCUGUUGGGACUCCAUCCUGCUUCCCCUCGAUGUGCAGAAGUAACAGCAGCAGGUGGAGGCCGUGUUUGGCUAUGCCCCCGCUACUCCCCGUUUGUUUUAGAUGUAGCGGUUUUAAAGUUCUGCAGCUGCCAUGGCAACCUGUCCCUGCCGCACAGCUCACACAUCCCAAGACCGACCCCCCGCAUCCCCUUAGUACGCCACUGCAGGCAGUCACACAAACACAGUCACAGGCAGACAGUCACACACACACAUACACACACAGUUACAGGCAGUCACACAUACACAUAGUCACAGGAAGACAGUCACACACACAUAGUCACAGGCAGACAGUCACACAGACACAGUUGCAGGCAGACAGUCUCUCACACACACACAGCUUAGGCUGGAGGAGGAAUGGAUUCAGUCCAUGCUGUGUAGUUUUUGGGGAAGCAGGGACUCCAUCCUGCUUCCCCUUGAUGUGCAGCAGUAACAGCAGCAGGAUGUUUAGCUCCACCCCUGCUGCUGGUUUGGCUCCACUCCUGCUGCUGAUUAACUCCACCUCAUUUAUUUUAGAAGUGGCGGUUUUAAAGUUCUGCAGCUGGCUGUCCCUGCGUGUGUGAGCUGUGCGGCUGCCAUGGUAACCUGUCCCUGAUGCACAGCUCACACAUCCUAAGGCCGCCCUGGUCAUGGAUCACCCCCCUCUCCCCGCCUCCCCCUUAGAAUGCCACUGGUUAUCCUCUAUAUGGUUGGUAAAAGGAAGUUUCUUAAAGAGACACUAUAGUCACCAGAACAAAGCUUUUCAUGUAAACAUUGCCUUUUCAGAGAAAAUGCAGUGUUUACUUUGCUGCCUAGUAACACCUAUAGUGGCAAUCACUCAGACGGUCAUUAGAGGUGCUUCCUGUGUCAGUGCUGCACAUUGUUCAUGGAGCCACUGAACUUUCCCCUUUGAGAUGCAUUGGUUCAAUGUAUAUCUGUAAGGAGAUGCUGAUUGGCCAGGGUGGCGUUUGGCUUUUCCCCCUGUCUGUUUAGCUAAGAUUAUCAGAAUUGAUGAUCUCAGCCAAUCCAAUGCUUUCCUAUGGUUGAGAUAGUCAAAUCUGAUGAUGUCAGCCAAGGAGGCGGAUCAGUGCAAGGGCCAGCACUGGCAAACCUGCUCGACACUGGAAUAAAGGGGAGUUUUCUCCUUAUUCAAGGUAAAGCUAAAAUGUGUUUUUAACACUAUAGAGUGAGGAAAACAUGUUUGCAUUACUGACCCUAUAGUGUUCCUUUAUUGCAGUUACUACACUUCACACGGGGGACACAAGAAGAAUAUGUGUCUGCACAAAAACUGUAAAUUUAUCUAAUGAACUCAGUAUAGCAGGCUAAGAAUAUAUAUUAUACAUUUAUUUUCUAGAUUGUAACUGCAUCUUGAAACAUCAUGGAAGAGCACAAGAGCACAAUGUGAGCAUCUACUAGUACAGUGUUUCCCUAUUGGUGUUCUGUGGAACCCUAGGGUUCAAACAAAAUUGGGGUUCUGCUGCAAUUUGCCAAUCGAGUGGCCCAAGCACUUAGAGCCACCCGAUCAAUAUUGCUAAACAGGGACCCGGUCAGGCGCCGCGGACAUUUAAGAUCGCCCUGCAGAAAACGGAUGCUUGGUGGAAGUCAAAGCUGCACACCAGCCUCAACCAGCAGCACUCUAAGCAAAUCACCCUUCUGCAGAAUAAAGGUAACCUAACAGGAGGGUGACUGCAAAUAUAAACAUCAUGACGUGUGUGUGUGUGUGUGUGUGUAUGUGUGUCAAGAGGUGCAUGUGUCACUGUGUGUACCUGAGUGUGUGUACCUGUUUAUCACUGUGUGUAUCUGUGUGUUAGUGUGUGUAUCUGACUGUGUGCGUACCUGUGUAUGUGUAGGUGUCAGUGGGUGUAUCUGUGUGUUAGUGUGUGUAUCUGUGUGACAAUGUGUGUGUAUGUGUCAGUGUGUUUCUAAGUGUGUUUCUGUUUGUUAAUGUGUACGUAUAACUGUGUAUAUGCAGACAUCCUAGCAAUCAAACAUCAACACAACAUGCAAACACAAACAUGACAUACAAAGACACUCCGGAGAGACUUAUAUAUUAUAUAAAUUAUAUACAAACACUACAACACAUUCUUCACUUAAGCACCAAUACUACACACAAAUGUACAUUCGCAUUUAAAAACACUACAUCCAAACACACCACUGCACAUAAAUACAAGCAUAACAAACAAACACACCCCUGUAUCCAAAUGCUAAAAUUAUAUACAAACACCAACUCUACCCACAGAAGCACACCUGCUCCUAAGUACUACAAUCAGUUUGCUAUCUGCAAAAAAAACAAAACAUUACGCUCUGUUAAUUAAAAGGUUUGUGCUAAUGCACUACCUUUUUAUUUAUUUAUUUUUUUUUUGGGGGGGGGGGGGGGUUCCACAGUGUUGGUACACUAUGUAAAAAGGGUUCCACAGGAAAAAUUAAUUGGGAACCCCUGUACUAAUCCCACCUCCAUAUUCCAUAGUCAUCAUUAACUGAUUUUGCUACAAGAAUAUGUGAUAUCCAGGAAUACAUAAAGUUCUUGAUCAAAACAGGAUAGAGUAAUAUUUAUAUACCACCUACAAAUGAUAUAGCUAGCUUUAUUUUAAUAUAAAUAAGACACAUCUAAGAAUAAGUGGAAUCAACAAAAACGUAACUGACAAAUGAGAGGAUCUCAAAUAAAACAGUGAGCGAUUCGUUCAGCCACAGGUGAUUUAAAGCAGCCUUCAAAAUGUAAUGACCUGCAAAACAGGACUUACUGUGAACAUGAUUCAAUGCUACCCUUUGGGGAUACGUGUCUGUGGAUGGAGAUAGACACUGUGGUUUAGCUCUCUCUUGUUGUACAGAAAUUAAUUGAAAAUAGAAAUAAUAUGUAACAAAAAGUGUUAGAGUGAUGAUGAAAGUGUUAUCAUGAUAUAAAGUCCCAGCAAGCUCUUUAAAAAUACCCAGCACAUUUCAUGGAAAGAUGUCUUACAACUCAACAAGUCUUAAAACCCACUGCAUACCAUCAGGACCUACUGCCAUUUACUCUAUAUACAGUAGAAAACCUAGGAAGAUCUUGGGAAUGAAUAGCAAAAACUACAAAGGAGAUGAAUAUAAAAUGAAAGAAUUAAUGAAAUAUUAGAUCCUUACAAGGUAAGGGGUCGUGGUGUUAGAUAUAUCUGUUAGAGUCAUGGCAGCAUACUGAGUGAGGUUUCAGAUCUGAGUUUGUUUUAGGUGAGGGUCAGGAAGGCUCAGGAUCUAAAGGUGUCCUCUAAGUCAGUGUUUCCCAACCCAGUCCUCAAGGCACACCUACCAGUCCAGGAUUUAGGGAUUACCCAGUUGUGUCUAAGGUGUUUUUUUUCUUCUUUGUAAAAACACCUUAGACACACCCUGUAAUCCCUAAAUCCUGGACUGGUAGGUGUGCCUUGAGGACUGGGUUGGGAAACACUGCUCUAAGUAAAUGAAUUGGGAAAAGCUUUGAAUACGAUUCCACAGGUAAAUUCUGGAUGGAUCAAUUCAUUCUGUUGUAGAUUAAAAGGAAAUAGAAAAUAAACACCUUCCCUCUCUAGUGGUUACACAGAAAACAACAAUAAUAACAAAAAGUUAAAGAAUCCCCAAAGGCACGUUGUGGUCUAGGUACAGUGGCCCUGUAGUUUUAAUCUUGCAAAGUAAAGCAUUGCCAUUUUGUAGAAACUGCAUUGCUACCAUUCACGGGUUAACACACCUCUAGUGGCUGUCUUCGUCUUUGAGAACAGAGUCAAAUCCAAUGCUUCGCCAUACAGAAGCCUGACCAUGGUUCUGUAUGGGGAAGCACUGGAUUGGCUAAGAUAAUCAAGAAUGAGGAUCUCAGCCUAGGAGCAGGGGUGGUCGCAGAGAGCAGGGUGACGAGGGAAGGUAAGGUAAGGAAAACUACCUUUCUCAAGCACUCCAAGGGUGGGCCCAUCACCUAAACAUGUACAGGACACUAUAGUGGUUGGAAUACAUGCUUGUAUUCCUAAUGUUGGAGUGUUCCUUUAAUAUUACAUGAAUGGGACAGCUAAAUGACAAAACAUAUUAGAAAUAGAAGUAGUGACAUAAUCAAUUCCCAUACAAUUAGGGGGAACAGAGUGGAGACAAAUCCAUGUCAAUAAUUUGCCAGUGUUAGAUAUGGAAAAAUUGCAAUAUCUAGGUAAUGGCUUGUUUGUACAAUUCUGUUAGAAAAUGACCUAUUCACCAUUUUUGCAGAUUUAAAUCUCAAAAACUAAGCUAACAUUUAUCCUAAAAAAAAUAAAAUAAAAUCCCUGCCUCUCACACGAAGUAAAAACGAUUUAUAACCAAAGCUGCAUUAUUAUCUUAAACAUUCUUUAUAAACCACUGCCAAGUGAUAGCACAAGGCAGUUUACGUCCCAUAGGCAACAAUUUAUUGAUUAUGCGUUCUUUGUUUAAAACGUAAUCUACAACUCCCCAAAUCAGUAAGGACCUCAUCAAAGCAUUGGAGAGGGAUAUAGACAUUUGAGGUCAAUUGUAAGAUCUAUUGUCCUGCUUGUAUGGACAACUGAUAAUUCAAAUGGAAAAAAGAUGGAUAUAAGGUCUUAUUAAUGAAGAUUUUAAUUAGCCAGAUAUAGACUUGAAACAUUUCCACCAUCAUGGAUUUUUUUCGUUUAAAGACAACGCCGUGUUUUUAGAAGUGCUACAAAAAAUGAUGUGUUACUGGACUUGGUGUCCAUAAAUCGUGAUGAUGUUUAAUGCACUAUUAAUGAAAAAAAGGGGUCAUUAUACAAUAUACAUCUUGAAAAAUUAUGUUAUAUGGGAAAUAUUGCAAACCAGAACUACAAUGUGCUGCAUAUAGAAAUGUAUUUAAAAAAGAAAUGUUAUAUGGGAUAAACUGGCAUACAAUCUAUUUCAACACUCAACAUAUAAUCACACUCAACAUUUAAUGGGAAUUUAAAUCAAACCCAAGAUGAUCAUGGGUAUAUUAUGCAAUUAUAUACAAAAUCAAUUUUUCAAAUAAUUUUCAUAUUGAAGCAUUUUUGAAUAAAUAAAAGGAAUACUAUAGUAUCAGCAAUGCAAGCAUAUUCCUGACACUAUAGUUGUAAAAGUGAAGUUUAGGUCCUUGGCCGCCCUGUUAGAGAAGUAAAGGUGAGUAUAAAGGUGCCGGUCUACACCUCAUUGGCUGAGAUCAUCAAAUUUGAUGAUCUCAGUCGAUUCAAUGCUUUCCCAUAGGAAAGCAUUGAGAGACUAUUACACAUGCGCAACAAAACACCAAUCAGCAUCUCCUUAUACAGAUGCAUUGAAUCAAUAAAUCUAGAUAAGGAAAGUUCAGAGUCUCCAUGCAAAGGGUGGAGAGGCUAAAUGUCAGUGUUGCACAUUGUGCAACACUGACCCAGGAAGCACCUUUAGAAAGAAACAUACCUUUUCCAAGUCUGAUGCCGAUGUAGGGAGCUGUGAAGCAACUUAGGGGUAACCCGUUCAAAAACGGUUUACCCCUUGAGGUAAGAGUGCCUCUAGGGACCUUCUAGAACCAUAAUAACUUCAUUUAGAUUAAGUCGUUUUGGUGUAUGGAGUAUCCCUGUAAGGAAAGUUAUUUGGAAAGGUAAAGUUCUGUGAAAUGCAAAAUUAUUACAUUGUAUCAACAGUGUAACCGCUAACCUGCUUACAUACACAGUAACUUCAAAUUUUUUUAGUCUGUAACAAAACAUUGAUCAAUAUGAAGCUAUGUGAUUCUACCAGUUUUUUAAAAUAUUACUUAUAAGGAAGCUACAUUUUAAGAUUGGGAGGCAGGGUAAGGGCCUUGGCUACUUGCCUCUCGCUCACUUCGUACUUCAACAACUUUUUAACCAAUUUUUCCUUAUACUUCAGCACCAAGAGCUGAAGUCACUACUGUACUCUUGCGCAUGUGCGAAAGUACAGCAAUAAGGUCUAUGGUGGUUCCCGCGGUCUCCAGAACCAAUUCCCUACAGCUGUCACAGGUAAUGGCGGGUUAGAUUGACACUUCAUGACGGCAGUAACUCUGCCCAGUGUCUAGAAUAAAAAAGAAAAGAGUUACUCACGCACUAUCCCAAAUCCCUAUGCAUAUUUAAAUAACUGAAGGUUCUUAGUAGUACUCCAAUGGCCGUCAGAUUGUAAAUUCACCUGUCAUGUCAAGGCAAAAAACCUCUUAGGUAAGUACUGCGCUAACAAUUCACCUUGCUUUCUUCAGCUUCAGGUAAAACAAUAACACUGUGUUUUAAGGGUUAAUAAGUAUGUAGGGUUUUCUACCUGAAUCUGAAGGAAGCUUGGUCAUUCUUUCCACCCAGGAAUAGUGAUGUCCCGAACGGUUCGCCGAACGGUUCGCGAACGGUUCGCCACGAACGGUUCGCUGCGGACUCAUCAUUGAGUAAACUUUGACCCUGUACCUCACAGUCAGCAGACACAUUCCAGCCAAUCAGCAGCAGACCCUCCCUCCCAGUCCCUCCCACCUCCUGGACAGCUCACUAAGAAUGCAGCUUCAAAAUGGAUGCUGUCCAGGAGGUGGGAGGGUUUGGGAGGGAGGGUCAGCUGCUGAUUGGCUGGAAUGUGUCUGCUGACUGUGAGGUACAGGGUCAAAGUUUACUCAAUGAUGAGUCCGUGGCGAACCGUUCAUGGCGAACCGUUUGCGAACCGUUUGGCGAACCGUUCGGGACAUCACUACCCAGGAACAGUGUCUAGAAGUGUCCGAUGUAGAAAAAAUGCAAAUAAACAAAAAAGAACAAGCAGUUACUACUAAAUUGUGCAUAGAUGGCAAACUGGUGCUUUGGGCCCCCCAGGAGUAACUGGGCCCGGGGCAGCGGCCUCGUUUUCCCCGUGUUAAAGACGGCCCUGACUGUAAUCAUCAAAACAACUUUAGCUUCAUGAAGCAGUUUUGGUGUAGAGAUCAUGCCCCGGUAGUCUCUCUGCUCAAAUCUUUGCUAUUUAGGAGUUAAAUUACUUUUAACUUUUUAAUAAGAGUGCUAAUUCCCAAGGAAUUAUUUAACACUAGAUUAUUGAAUUCAGGGGGUUAUGGAAAUUAUCCAAAGUUGGCCUUGAUUUAAAUAUUUUUAUAUAUUUUUUUUUUUCAAAUCACAAUCACAGAUCACAAUCUGUUACAAAACUUUUCAAAAGAUUUAUCUACAAAGAUUCUUGCGCACUUUAAUGGCGACCUCUGUAGCUAAAUCAUUUGGAAAGUUCUUUAGUUUUGAUUAUUUAAUAAAGCUUAUUCAAAAAUAUUAAAAAGAGACCAUUGUCAGCAACACAGAUUUAAAUUGUGUCCAUGGGGCAUCCAUUCAUUUAAUACACCAUUACUACAAGAUAAAAAAGGGGAGCCAUUAUUAAAAAAAAAAAAGAACACGAGUCAAUUGCGCAUAUUAUAACCUUUUAAAUCUCCUUAGCAAAACCUGAAGGAUUAUUAAGGGCUAAUUCUUCUACAGAUAAAUGGGCUGAAUGAAGCAUAGGUGGCACACAAAGAGCUUUUAAAUUUUUUUUAUUAAGGUAAUUCUCUAGUUUAAAACCACUACUGAAAGUAUACUGAGUUCCAAAAAAUGUCUGCCCUUAGUGUCGGAGAGUAAAAUAACCUUUUGCUACUUUUACUAUUUCAAAUAAUCUACAGAUCGCAGAAGUCAGCUUGCCAGUAAAAUGGGCAGUACCGCCUGGUCCAUUAUAUUCUUAUCCUUUUUGAAAAUCCAGCCUCCCAGGUGUCAGAAAUAUAAGCACAGAUCAGCAAGGAACAUCUGGCCAACCCCCUGUUGGGAUGAAGUCAUCUUAAGAAUCAGCUCCCCAUGAUGUCCUCUUUUAUUAGAUGUUGCCAUGGUAACACUACACACUGCAAAGGACCUAUAUUCACAGAUAAAGUAAAUCUGUGUGACAGAUCCUGUUUUAUAUUCACAAUAUGCAAUGAAGGCAGUGGUCCUUACAUUAAAACAAGUAUAUGUUGAGCGGGUGCGAUUGCUAUGAAAUGUAUGGGUGGAAACAUACUUAAUGGAAAAUAUACUGGUAAAUAUAAAGACACACACACACACACUACAUUGGUGAACAUAAAUAAUGAGCAAAUUAAGAUUAAAUUGCAAUUAACUAUGUUAUCUGUGUCCACUGGAGGGCAGCAUAGAGCUUCAGAACAAUAUUUCAAAACGGCAUAGGGUUUUUUUUGUUUUUUGUUUUGAAGAGACAGCUGGCUUUGUACAAACAGAGUAACUGUUUUUUAUUAGGUAAGAAAAAAUAAGGAUUGGAGCCAGUACCAAAAGUUUAAAAAAAAAAAAACCACACUUUCAAAAACACUAAAAAAUGAUUAAUUAUCCAUAAACAAAACAAAUAAAAAAAUUACAGAAAUUAUCUCCUCCAAACAUUCCGGGAUUAAGUCCUUGGUAAUUUAGCAAAAGGGCCGAAGACAGAUUUUUUUCUUGCUACUUUGAUGGACUUGAAUGGAUGGGUGAGUGAGAGAGGUCCAGAGCUCCUGUUCCAACCCCUAGAUUAACAGAUAAAGCUGAGGUUUCCGCAGGUACAGGGGUCAGUAUUCUUGUACAGGUCAUCUGAUAAAGUAACACAUAGCGCCUGGAUCAGUGCCGAACACUAGGGAGGAAGUUAAUUUGUAAAAAAACUACAUUUACUUUCACCGUAGCUUAUAGUUUCACAUAUUUUACAUUUUGCUAAGCCUUGAAGCAUUGAAUAAAUGAGAUUUGUGUUUGCAUAACGAAUGUCACUGGCAGGGUUAUAUCUACGCCUACGUUCAGUGUGUUAAUGCUGGCCUCAGGAAUAUGUAUUUAAAGCAUAGCGUAUUUUCAGACACAGGAAUUUCACCUGUUAAUUAACUAUUCUAGCCACAAGGUUUUAACAAAAACGUAAGUCUAAAACGUUAAGCCAUACAUUAAUAAUAGAUUAGGCAGAAGCCAUUCUUAUUCUACAUUCUAUGUGUUUUUAAUUCCUGUCUUUUUCCGAGUAUAUUAGUCCCUUCUCUUUUUUAUCUCUGUUCCUCAUUUUUCACAAUCCUGUUCGCUCCCUUGUGCGACUUGCCUCGUUUCUCAUUUUAAAUCUUUUUUCCACUUGGCUUGUUAUUCUACGCACCUAUUAUCUCACUUUCGACACUCAUUUUAUCUCCUUACUACCCUCUUCCCAUUCUGUAAAGUCCUAUUCUUUUCCUCUGCACUGUAACUGUUUUGCCUCUGCGCUCUUAUUACCUUCCAUACUAUUGUUUUUUUUUCUUUUCAUCCCAUUAUAUCACUACCUGUGUUGUUUUCCGUUUCUAAAUGCAUAUUUUCUCAUUUCUGCCCUCUACACGUUUUCUUUACUACAUUCUUCAUUGCAAAGCCUCAACAGAUCUCUUGAAUCUCUUUUGUUUAGAAAAACGGCGCCUCAGAGGGGAUGUGAUAACAUUAUACAAAUAUAUUUGUGGCCGAUACAAUCUGUUGUGUGGAAAUCUAUUCAUAAACAGGACUAUACAUAGGACACAAGGUCACAUAUUUAGACUGGAAGAAAGGAGAUUUAUUCUAAGUCAAGGAUUUUUUACAGUAAGAACAAAAAGGAUGUGGAAUUCUCUGCCUUAAGAGGUGAUUUUAUCAGAGUCUGUGUAGAUGUUUAAACAGCAACUGGAUGAAUACGUGCAAAAACAUAAUAUUUAGGGAUAUAAUUUUUAAUUUGUGAGGUAAUUGCUCCAAGGAGAGUUCUGACCGCCAUUUUGAAGCUGAUAAUGGAUAUUUCCUAGUCUGUAGCAAAAUGUGAAGCUCUAUCAACAGCAAAAACAGAUGUAAGAAAGGCUGAUUUUGAUGGACGCAUGUCUCUUUUCAGCUAUGUAACUAGGAAACUAUUUAACAACCUGUUGGUUCGUAGAUGCUCCAUUAUUAUGACUUUAAUGACAACUAGAUCCUUCUAUUCUAAAGCUUAAUAUUUUAAGUCAUAAAACCAGUAAUAUACCCAGUGACUAUAACAUCAGGAAGAAGGAACAUGAGAAGGUAGACAAAUACCAAACAAGUGCUAGAAAGGAUGUGGAAAGUGAAGGCAGUAGUAGUCCCAGUUGUGAUAGGAGCACUUGGGCUGUGACUCCCAAGUUGGGGGAAUGGCUUCAACAAAUUCCAGGUGGGACAUUUGAGAUCGCUGUCCAGAAGAGUGCAGUUCUAGGAACAGAUAAGAUACUGCGCAGAACUAGCAGACUCCUAGGCCCCUGGUAUAGGACCCAAGAAUGAAGUAGAAAAAUAUAACACACAGAAUUUUUUCUUCUUUUUAUAUUACUGUUUUUUAUAUGUAUCCUACAUUUUUAAAUUGCAUUUAUAUUUGUAUUUCAAUUGCAUUCUUUCUAAAAAUGCACUGCAUGCAAUGUUAAUGAAUCAGACUAAACAUGUCAAGUCCUUCACUACUAGGCAAGCCUAACCAUUGUCCAUGACAUACUCUCCAGUCUCUCCAAUUUCUAGUCUCCAGGGAUGAAUUUUCACUCACUCAUUGUCACAGUUCUAACCAUGACAUCCAGACGAGGUCGCCCAAAAAGUGCCUAAUAGGGGAUUUGAACCUGGAUGCUAUAUGGCUCUAAGCCUGUGUUCCUGCCUCUGAUCCACUUCACUUCUGGUGUGGCCUGAAACUUAGCCCUGCCAUGUCUCCAGCACUGGGGGCUGGACUUAACCUGUGACUGCUCCUGUCAAUUAUAUUAUGGUCCACCUGUGUAGUAUGCCUAAUCAGCCAGGUAUAAAACACUGCCUCUCUGAGGGCAGUGUCAGUUCAUUGACCCUGGUUACUGUGUUUGUAUUUGGGAUCCAGUGUUCUCCAGUUGGCUCCUGACCUUAGCUUUCUCAUCGUGUAUCCUGACUUAUGGCAUCCUCUGACUUUGGAUUACCCUCGUUUAUCUUGACUUCUGGCACCCUCUAACUUUUGGCUUACCCUCGACGAUUCUCCUGCUUGUGUCCUUACCGGUACUGCGACUUGGAGCAAUAGCGCAGACUCAAAUGCCAGGGGAAUUCUUACAUGACCACCAUACUUGUAUUAUAUAAAUGUGAUAGACAUCAAUAAUUACAGAUAAUGAGACAAAAAUGUCAUUUUCUGAGAAUGUAGACAGUACAGAGACAGAAUCGUGUCUGCGCUCAGUUGUGUUUUUAUUGUAUAAAUAAUUAAGAAAAUAUUACUUUACCCUUUAUAUAACAGAAAAUAAAAAGAGCUAAGUAAGAUUACAGCACAUACCAUGUGAGUGGAGUCUAAAUUCCAGUCAUUAUAUCAUUUUUUUGGAAAGCUUAUAUAGCUGGCCUGAUACUGAUUGUAGUUGUUGAAAAUAAGCAAUUUGGCUCUUGCCUCGGCAAUAUAGAAAACAGAUGUGGGGUGAAAGUAUUAAAGGGACAGCCUUAGCCCCAAAAGCACUGCAUAGAGAAGAGACUGCCCCUGGAGUCUUGCAGAUUAAACCAGCUGCGUUUCUACGAAAACACGUUUCAACGCCUUUUAGUUCCUUUCUGCUAUCUAUGAGAUUUGGAUUGAAAUAGAUUCAAUUAUUACAUCUCUUCUACUGCAGUGUCAAGAUUCAAAGUAUGUGGAUACUAAAUGCUGGUUGUGUCAAAUUCUUCUCUAUGAGAAGCAAUGGAUUUGGGAUGGCGGCAAUUGCCAUUCCUGCACGUGUCCUUCUCUAUGAGAAUCAUCUGAUUGGGCACAUCUCCUCAGGGUUGAUGAUCUCUCCAGGGCAGAAUCAUCUGAUUGGGCACAUCUCCUCAGGCUUGAUGAUCUCACCCGGGGAGAAUAAUAUGUUUGGGCCCAUCUCUCACUAAAGUUUUCAAUCUCUCCCUUUCCUCCGGCACAUUUCCUUCAUCCUUCAAGCAUGCAACCAUAGCGCCAAUUCUGAAAAAGCCCAACUUCGACCCCAACUCCCCAUCCAAUUUGCACCCUACAUCGCUACUGCCGUUUGCCUCCAAGAUCCUUGAGAGAGUUGUGUAUGCAAGAUUGACAGACUUUAUUACGCUGCCUUGGCCACCUUCAUGCUGCUUAAACCUCAAUGGAGAAAUUCCAUAAGAGAGGAUCCGCACUGGGCGUUGUCUCCUAACUAAGUUGCAUGCUCUGUUUGGUGUUCCUAAACAAGGCAUUUAAAUUAAUGUGCAUUAAAUCAGGGACUUUGCUGUGGUCAAAAAACACCUGGAACUUAAGACAGAAAAUAAUUUGGUGACUCCUUCCUAAAGCCCAACACCUGACCCCUCUUCAAACCGAAUCUGUGCUCCUCCACAAUUCCACCGCUCUACAGGCCUCCUGGCAUACUAAGUUACUUACAGACACACAUACACACACCCAAACAAAGGUGUGCAAACACAAAAGACAUGCAGAAGAAUACACAGGCACAGACAAAUACAGACAGGUAUACACAGAUAGGCACACAGCCACAGACAGGUAAAAACAAAUUGGAACACACAGACAAGCACACACAGGUGCAGACAGGUACACAUAGACACACACAGGCAGGUAAACACAGGCACAGACAAGCACAGACAGGCAUGCGCAGGCACACAGAGAGGUAUACAAAAACACAGACAGGUGCUCACAGACAGGUACACACAAACAGGUACACACAGAUACAGACAAAAAUACACAGGAGCACACAGCAACAGACAAGCACACACAGGCACAGCAGAUAGGCACACACCCAUAGGCAUAUAAAGACACAGAUAGGCACACACAGACAAGAGUCAUGGGAAUUUUGUAUUUUAGUAUUACAGAGUUACACUGAAAUAAAUUGUUGGUGACUUGUUUUUGGUGUCUCUAUAAGUGGGAUACCAGAGGACAAAGUGGGACAGGGGCAUAAAAUGGUAUUGUGAAUGUGUUUGUAAAUUGUGGGAUGUUUGUGAUGUAGUGUGUGUAAAUAGAUGUAUGUGUUUGUGGUGUAAUAUGUGUGUCAUGGGGCUGUAGAGAGUGUGUGUGUAUAGGGACUGUAUUUUGUGUUUAUAGGUGUUGCAGUGUGUGUAAGGGAUGCAGUAUGUUUGUGUAGAGAUGACAGUGUGUAUUUAGGAAACAUGGUGUGUGUAUGGAAAGUAGUGUGUGUAGGGGGAUAGAGUGUGUUUUUGCUGGUGAUGCAGUGUGUGUGUGUGUAGGGUAUGUAGUGUGUAAGGAAUGUAUUGUGUUUGAAUCGGUGUGUUUGUGCUGGGGAUGUAGUAUGUGUAGGGAAUGUGUUGUGUGUGUGCUGGUGAUAUAUUUUAUACUUUCAGUGUGACAGACAGUAGAGGUGAAUUUAACCCUGCAAUGUAAACAUUCAAAAUGGACAGGGUGACUAUAGUGUCCUUUUAGAGGUGCAUAUAUAUUUUUGAAGUGAAUGGUUCCAUCCGUUGGCAUUUUUUGCCAUGAUUGGCGAGGUUCAGGAGAAGAAAUUCACAGUAUCCAAUCUACUUCCUAUGGUUUGAAAUUAUUUUGCCUUGGCUUUAUAACACAUAUUGAUUCAUUAAUCUUAAUAGAGCAAGCUGCAAACAUUUGUCACUUCUAUAAGAAACCAUUAAAUUUCAUUUUGGAUGUGCACUGAAUGUUUUAUUAUGUAUACAUAAUGCCUUAUUGUGGUUGCUUGUGGUUUAUGUGUACGGACAUCUAUCUGAUUAUAUUCAGUUUAAUGUGUCCAUUUUCCUGCACACUGAUUAAUUUAUUUUUCUUUCUUUCUUGGCUUAUUUAUAUUGUUUCCAAAAAAGGGAUAGUCUUAAACAGAACAGCUUCCCAAAUGUGAUGCAUCUUAGAUAAAUGUUGCAAAAGCUGGUAGGAGCCACACUCAAUUCCAGCAGCCACCCGGUGCCCUGGAGCAGGACCAGCAAUCCCACAAUGAUAAGACAAUGAAAUAAAUUCUCCAGGCACUCAAGGUGUUAAAGCCGCAGGCAGUUUUAAUUAAACAAAAAGAACAGCAAAAUUUCGACCUACUAUGAGGUAUUUGUCAAGGUAACACCACAAAGCAAACAUGAGUGUGUAUAUAGCAAUCAGUGCAUAAAAAGGACAUUAUUCUUUGGUGCUUCGGUAAGCAUUCUUUUUUACUCUUUUUACUCUUUUUUUACUCUUAGUUUUAUCUCACUAGAUCUUUAUAUUAUAUUAUUUUGUCUCUCCCUCCUCUGACACACAGAGGUAAGUCAUGGAUUGUUGCAUUUAUAGCUAUUUUGUGUAAUUUGUUUGAUUUGUGUUAAUUACUCUUGUUAAUAAUAUUUACUUAAGUGAAUUAUUGCUUGACCUUUUUAUGCACUGAUUGCUAUAUACACUCAUGUUUGCUUUGUGGUGUUACCUUGACAAUGACCUCAUAGUCGGUCGAAACGUUGCUGUUCUUUUUGUUUAAUUAAAACUGCCUGCGGCUUUACCACCUUGAGUGCCUGGAGAAUUUCUUUCAUGGCAUUUUCGGUAUAUAACAUCAGCCCGUGUCAGCAACAAAGUGCACUUUUUCUGAAAGUGUUCAUCUAUGUAAGAUCUAAGCCUUCGGCACUCCAGGUGUUGAGGACAUCAUCCCUGAUGUUUUUCCAGCAUUAUGGCGGUAAGAGCAUUAUGGGAGAUGUAGUCCACAACAUCGGGAGUGCCAAAGGUUGCCUACCCCUGCGUAGGUUAUAGCUGUCCAUGAUAUUCGUCACAUGACCUCAAAAAGGCUAAAGUUAGAGUUUACCCUGAAUAAUUUGAACUGUGAUAUUCAACAGUUACUAAAUAUAUUGCAUCCAGAGCACUAACCUCUGAGCUAUCAUAUUGACUAUAUCGCCUAGUCCCUAGAUAUGUGAAAAAGGACCCUGACCCAAUCCCAUUUCCAUAACGUUUCUCUUAUAAGUGUUUCCCACUCUAUAGACGUGUUAAAUUGAGAGUAUAAUCAUGGUAUUAGAACAUGGCUAUUCUGCAUCUGGGUUCCCAGCUGUGUUUACAAAUUGACCUUAAGGCACACAUGUGGUACACUAUUAAUAUAUAUAUAUUUGAUUUGAUGUAUGUAUUUUCUAGAAAUAGUUGGCUCAUGGCAUCAUCACAAGAACAGCUGUAAUAUGACGGUGUACAUGUCAACUUAAUAAUGGAGGCUUAGUGACACACACUUUGUCACUGGCACCCCGACCUGGCACCCCGACUGGGUAUCUCCGUUGAAGGAUGCUCCUAGCGCUUCCUGAGGACUCCAAGCACUGCAGCAGACACCACAACCACCGAACCGGAGAAGCAUACGAAUGCUCUCAAGCAUAUGAAUGCUGUAAGCAGCUGAACAGGAAAAGCAUACAAUCAGCUUACACUCCUGGCAAUCAGCAUACAAUCCAAUUCCCCCAAUAACGAGACGACACUUCGUUUUGAGGUCAAGCAGAACUGCCUGUACUGGCACAUACAGCCUCUUUUAUUCACAAUCCACAAACAUAGUACUGCCCACAGGGUUUUGAAAUACAACCAAUCAAUCCAUACAAUACACACAGAUCCUCCCACACAAAAUCCUCCCCUCUGCCUGUGAUAUGAUUACUGAACACAAUGUUUAAUAUAAUUAUCACAGGCAGAGAAAUACAGUAUUAUAAAACAUAUCACAGGGAUCCCAAAACAUGCAAUAACCCCAUAAAAGUAUAUCCUCGGAACCGGGGGAUCUGGGUGAACCACAUAUCCAAAAUUCACCCAGUUCCGUUCAGUAGUUUGGAAGAUACAGUUUAAUGCAGAUUUUGCAGAACAUUUACAAAUUAUAUAAAAAAUAAUUACUGUAUAAUGUGUCCCCUGUUGUAUAGUUUAAAACUACUGCACAAUGUCUUUGUGCACCAAAUACCGGCGAGAUGGCACCGUGUAGAAAAGUCCAAACAGUGUCUGUGAGUAGUGAUGUACCGAACGGUUCGCCAGCGAACGGUUCCCGGCGAACAUAGCAUGUUCGCGUUCGCCACGGCGGGCGAACAUAUGCGCGGUUCGACCCGCCCCCUAUUCGUCAUCAUUGAGUAAACUUUGACCCUGUACCUCACAGUCAGCAGACACAUUCCAGCCAAUUAGCAGCACACCCUCCCUAGCAGACCCUCCCACCUCCUGGAAGGCAUCCAUUUUAGAUUCAUUCUCAAGCUGCAUGCUUAGUAAGAGGAGGGAAAGUGUAGCUGCUGUUCAUUAGAUAGGGAAAAGCAUAGCUAGGUUAGGGUUAGGGUAUGCUUUUUUUAAAAAAUUUUUUCUAUGUAAUGUAAUUGCACUUAGUUGUCUGCCACUGCUGCCAGCUUCUGUGUCAGGCUCACAGUGCAUACUGUGCCCAUUUCCCCAGACAGUGCCACCACUUACAUCUGGUGUCACAAUAGCUUGGAUUUAAAAACAAAAAACUUUUUUCACUGUUAUAGAUUGAAUAGCAGUCAGUGUCCUUAAAGCAGGUGUGUUACGCUAACAGUGGAUACUGUGCCCAGUGCCACCACUUAGAUCUGGUGAAACAAUAGCUUGGAUUUAAAAACAAAAAACUUUUUUCACUGUUAUAGAUUGAAUAGCAGUCAGUGUCCUUAAAGCGGGUGUGUUACGCUAACAGUGGAUACGGUGACCAGUGCCACCACUCACUGGUGUCAUAAUAGCUUGCAUUUAAAAACAAAAAACCUUUUUCACUGUUAUAGAUUGAAUAGCAGUCAGAGUCCUUAAAGCGGGUGUGUUACGCUAACAGUGGAUACGGUGACCAGUGCCACCACUUAGAUCUGGUGUCACAAUAGCUUGGAUUUAAAAACAAAAAACUUUUUUCACUGUUAUAGAUUGAAUAGCAGUCAGUGUCCUUAAAGCAGGUGUGCUACGCUAACAGUGGAUACGGUGACCAGUGCCACCACUUAUAUCUGGUGACACAAAGCUUGGAUUUAAAAACAAAAAACUUUUUUCACUGUUAUAGAUUGAAUAGCAGUCCUUAAAGCGGGUGUGUUACGCUAACAGUGGAUACGGUGACCAGUGUCACCACUUAGAUCUGGUGUCACAAUAGCUUGGAUUUAAAAACAAAACACUUUUUUCACUGUUAUAGAUUGAAUAGCAGUCAGUGUCCUUAAAGCGGGUGUGUUACGCUAACAGUGGAUACGGUGACCAGUGCCACCACUUAGAUCUGGUGUCACAAUAGCUUAGAUUUAAAAACAAAAAACUUUUUUCACUGUUAUAGAUUGAAUAGCAAAUGCGUCCUUAAAGAGGUGUGUUACGCCAACAGUGGAUACGGUGACCAGUGCCACCCACUUAGAUCUGGUGACACAAUAGCUUGGAUUUAAAAACAAAAACUUUUUUCACUACUGUUAUAGAUUGAAUAGCAGUCAGUGUCCUUGUGCCGGUGUGUUACGCUAACAGUGAUAUCGCGACCAGUGCCACCCUAGAUCUGGUGUCACAAUAGCUUGGAUUUAAAAACAAAAACUUUUUCACUGUUAUAGAUUGAAUAGCAGUCAGUGUCCCAGCGGGUGUGUUACGCUAACAGUGGAUACGGUGACCAGUGCCACCACUUAGAUUUGGUGACACAAUAGCUUGGAUUUAAAAAAAAAAAACUUUUUUCACUGUUAUAGAUUGAAUAGCAGUCAGUGUCCUUAAAGCGGGUGUGUUACGCUAACAGUGGACACAGUGACCAGUGCCACCACUUAUAUCUGGUGUCACAAUAGCUUGGAUUUAAAAACAAAAAUCUUUUUUCACUGUUAUAGAUUGAAUAGCAGUUAGUUAUCUUCAAGCAGGUGUGUUACGCUAACAGUGGAUACGGUGACCAGUGCCACCACUUAGAUCUGGUGUCCCAAUAGCUUGGAUUUAAAAACAAAAAACUUUUUUCACUGUUAUAGAUUGAAUAGCAGUCAGUGUCCUUAAAGCGGGUGUGUUACGCUAACAGUGGAUACGGUGCCCAAUACCACNNNNNNNNNNNNNNNNNNNNNNNNNNNNNNNNNNNNNNNNNNNNNNNNNNNNNNNNNNNNNNNNNNNNNNNNNNNNNNNNNNNNNNNNNNNNNNNNNNNNGUUCACUGACACAAACACUCACGUUCACUGACAGAAACACAUACCGUACACACACACACAAACACUCACGUUCACUGACACAAACACUCACGUUCACUGACACAAACACUCACGUUCACUGACAGAAACACAUACCGUACACACACACACAAACACUCACGUUCACUGACAAACACUCACCUUCACUGACAAAACACAUACCGUACACUCACUGACAGAAACACACACUGACAGAAACAUACACACAGACACACACACUCACUGACACAUACACACACACUCACUGACACAAACACACACACUGACACAAACACACACACAUUCAUUGACAAACACACACUGACAAACAAACAUACACACUGACAGAAACUCACUAGAUUAUAAACACUUUUGCUCUAUUUCAAACACUUGGCUGCUGGGAUAUGAUGUAAUGUAUCCCAGCAGCCCUUUACAUAAUGUGAGCUGAUUGGCCCAUCUGGAGGGGUGAGCUGAUUGGUCCAUCUGGAGGGGUGAGCUAAUUUGGCCCGCGCGGCGCAUCUGGAGGGGUAAGAGAAAGUGACCGGCGGGAGAGUGGUUUUAUAUGCUCCCGCCGGUCCCACGACCCCCUCCCUCCCGCUACCCUGAUUAUGCAGCCGCAGCCGCCACCGCAGCUGACUCCGCCGCAGCCGCCCUCCUUCUUCAUGCUUUCAGUGUCAGAAAGCAUGAAGGUGAGUAUGCCGCCGGACCGGCUUGGCGGCCGCCCGGUCCGGCGGCACCACUAUGAUGUUUUUAUUCUCCACCCCCCCUCACACCUGUGUAUAAGUCGAGCCUGCAAUAUAACAUUAAUUUUGCAGGUAAAAUUUCUCGACUUAUACACGGGUAUAUACGGUAAUAUAAAGAUCUAGUGAGAUAAAACUAAGAGUAAAAAAAAAGAGAGUAAAAAGAGUAAAAAAGAAUGCUUACCGAAGCACCAAAGAAUAACGUCCGGUUAAGUGGAACGCAAGAGAGCAUUUCCUGUACUCUAGAACACAUAGGAACGGCGCAAGCGCAGUCUAAAAACUAUGAUGUUUUUAUUCUCCACCCCCCCUCACACCUGUGUAUAAGUCGAGCCUGCAAUAUAACAUUAAUUUUGCAGGUAAAAUUUCUCGACUUAUACACGGGUAUAUACGGUAAUAUAAAGAUCUAGUGAGAUAAAACUAAGAGUAAAAAAAAAGAGAGUAAAAAGAGUAAAAAAGAAUGCUUACCGAAGCACCAAAGAAUAACGUCCGGUUAAGUGGAACGCAAGAGAGCAUUUCCUGUACUCUAGAACACAUAGGAACGGCGCAAGCGCAGUCUAAAAAAGUCUAAUCAUGAAAAAAGUGAAAACAGUUUGUUUGAUCAUACGUACGAACAGCACUAGAUGUUCGUACGCACAUGCACACUAAAGCACGAACAAUUCAAUCUUCCAAACGGAGAUGAAUAUGCGCACGAUCGUACGAGCGGUCAUUGCUUUUAGACUUUUUUAGACACACAGAGGUAAGUCAUGGAUUGUUGCAUUUAUAGAUAUUUUGUGUAAUUUGUUUGAUUUGUGUUAAUUACUCUUGUUAAUAAUAUUUACUUAAGUGAAUUAUUGCUUGACCUUUUUAUGCACUGAUUGCUAUAUACACUCAUGUUUGCCUUGUGGUGUUACCUUGACAAAGACCUCAUAGUCGGUCGAAACGUUGCUGUUCUUUUUGUUUAAUUAAAACUGCCUGCGGCUUUACCACCUUGAGUGCCUGGAGAAUUUCUUUCAUGGCAUUUUCGGUAUAUAACAUCAGCCCGUGUCAGCAACAAAGUGCACUUUUUCUGAAAGUGUUCAUCUAUGUAAGAUCUAAGCCUUCGGCACUCCAGGUGUUGAGGACAUCAUCCCUGAUGUUUUUCCAGCAUUAUGGCGGUAAGAGCAUUAUGGGAGAUGUAGUCCACAACAUCGGGAGUGCCAAAGGUUGCCUACCCCUGCGUAGGUUAUAGCUGUCCAUGAUAUUCGUCACAUGACCUCAAAAAGGCUAAAGUUAGAGUUUACCCUGAAUAAUUUGAACUGUGAUAUUCAACAGUUAUUAAAUAUAUUGCAUCCAGAGCACUAACCUCUGAGCUAUCAUAUUGACUAUAUCGCCUAGUCCCUAGAUAUGUGAAAAAGGACCCUGACCCAAUCCCAUUUCUAUAACGUUUCUCUUAUAAGUGUUUCCCACUCUAUAGACGUGUUAAAUUGAGAGUAUAAUCAUGGUAUUAGAACAUGGCUAUUCUGCAUCUGGGUUCCCAGCUGUGUUUACAAAUUGACCUUAAGGCACACAUGUGGUACACUAUUAAUAUAUAUAUAUUUGAUUUGAUGUAUGUAUUUUCUAGAAAUAGUUGGCUCAUGGCAUCAUCACAAGAACAGCUGUAAUAUGACGGUGUACAUGUCAACUUAAUAAUGGAGGCUUAGUGACACACACUUUGUCACUGGCACCCUGACCUGGCACCCCGACUGGGUAUCUCCGUUGAAGGAUGCUCCUAGCGCUUCCUGAGGACUCCAAGCACUGCAGCAGACACCACAACCACCGAACCGGAGAAGCAUAUGAAUGCUCUCAAGCAUAUGAAUGCUGUAAGCAGCUGAACAGGAAAAGCAUACAAUCAGCUUACACUCCUGGCUAUCAGCAUACAAUCCAAUUCCCCCAAUAACGAGACGACACUUUGUUUUGAGGUCAAGCAGAACUGCCUGUACUGGCACAUACAGCCUCUUUUAUUCACAAUCCACAAACAUAGUACUGCCCACAGGGUUUUGAAAUACAACCAAUCAAUCCAUACAAUACACACAGAUCCUCCCACACAAAAUCCUCCCCUCUGCCUGUGAUAUGAUUACUGAACACAAUGUUUAAUAUAAUUAUCACAGGCAGAGAAAUACAGUAUUAUAAAACAUAUCACAGGGAUCCCAAAACAUGCAAUAACCCCAUAAAACCGGGGGAUCUGGGUGAACCACAUAUCCAAAAUUCACCCAGAUCCGUUCAGUAGUUUGGAAGAUACAGUUUAAUGCAGAUUUUGCAAAACAUAUACAAAUUAUAUAAAAAAUAAUUACUGUAUAAUGUGUCCCCUGUUGUAUAGUUUAAAACUACUGCACGAUGUCUUUGUGCACCAAAUACCGGCGAGAUGGCACCGUGUAGAAAAGUCCAAACAGUGUCUGUGAGUUAAAAUGGCGGCCAACCAUUGUUCUCACCAUGUGCUUCAUCCAUUGUUCUCACCAUGUGCUUCAUCCAUUGUUCUCACCAUGUGCCUCUGAUACAUGAAAUGGUGGCCACCCAGUAACUCCACAGUAUGUCCCCAGAUGGUUCUUAAAGGCCAGCAGCAGCACAACACAAAUCCAUUAUGCCCAAAUCAUGUCUUUAAAGGGCAAUACAUCCCAGGGGCCAUAGUCACAUGGCAGGAGGCUGGCAAUCAGUCUUCUCCAAUGCCCAGUGGCGAGGUCGGUUUCGCCACACACUUAUUUUUCUUUUAUUUGUCCAUUUUAAAGGUGUACUCACUCACGGUGCAUUUACUUAUGUGAGAAUUCAAAGUGAAUUUCGCAUUUAAAGCUACAGUAGCCCAACUGAAAGCAUAGCUGACCUACAGAUUUUUUUUAAGUUUAGCUAUUUAGCUCUUACAUCUGAAUUUGACUUUGAAUUCACUUUGAAUUCUUACCUUAGUAAAUAACCCUGACUUUGUUUGAUAGCAGUUGCUAUUUGUUUUCUCUCUAAAAUACUAAAAUAGAAUGAAAAUGAGCAUUUUGUGGUAUGAAAGAACGCACAAAGAACCUUAACAAUCACUGCAGUACAAAAAAAGGUAUACAAUCAAAAAUAAAAUUUUGGUACUUUGUGUAAAACAGUUUCAUUUGUGCCUUCAUCCAGUACAGCCCACUGUUAUUCCAAGCCUUUUUGUGCACCAAUUCUUCAUUCCCAGGAACUAAACUAAAUACAUCAGACGUGGAAGAAACUGUGCCACAAAAAUACAGACAUACAAAACUUCAUAUUUCAAAAUAUUUUAUUGGAUGUUUCAAAAAUAAAUAAAUCUUUCUGAGUUAGAGACAUCUAGGAGGGGAAUAAAAACAAGUAUGACUAACGCGUUUUGCAUUAUGCGCAGACGUAAAACAGCAAUGGAACAAAUACAAACACUUAUAUAACACGCGUUUAAGACCAGUUCAUAUAUAUAUUUCACCUGCUUCAUAAUGCACUCUUCAAAAUACAUAAUGGAUAGAGAAUUAAUCAUUUAUGUGGCUAUACAAACUAGGCUGACCCUUUUAAAAGUCAUAUUGCAUUGUAAAUGUCUUGGGAUUUUAUACACUUUCCUAUGGCUAUAUCUCUAUAGAAAAUGAAUAGAUCAUUUUGUUUAUUACAAAUUUUAUAGACGUGUUCAUUCAGCUCAUUCAGUUUAAAGAUUACCGUAUUUUCCGGCGUAUAAGACGACUUUUUAACCCCUGAAAAUCUUUUCAAAAGUCGGGGGUCGUCUUAUACGCUGGGUAUCGUCUUAUGGCUGGAAGUUACCACAGCAAGCCAUUACGUCGCCACAUAUGGUGGGGGGAGCUCAAAAAGGCCGUGGCCGCAUCCCCGCCGUAUGGAAGCAGCAAAGGCGGCGCUGUAGAAGAAGCCCUUCUAUCCUAUUACCGUACCUCCUUCUCUGCCUGUUCAUUCUCGCACAUGCGCUGAUUCACUGCAGUCUGUAGGAGCGAGAUCUCAGAUCUGCAGUGAAGCGUCGCAGGCGCGCAUGUGCGAGAUCUGAGAGGCAGAGAAGGAGGUAUGGUAAUAGGAUACAAGAGCGGGCCAGACCAGUGAAAGAGGCAUGUUUUCCUUGGAGACAGGGAGGGCUGGGCAGGCAGGGAGAGCUGACCAAUCCAACCAGCCAAUCGCCGGUAAGGUACAUCACUUGCCGUGAUUGGCUGGUUGUUUUGGUUAUACUGGGUACCACAUACAGUUCAGCACCAGUAUCUGUACCUGUUCAUACAGUACAGUACCAGUAUCUGUACCUGUUCAUACAGUACAGUACCAGUACAGUAAAUACAGUACAUACAGUACAUACAGUACAGUAUACAAAUGUACAACAGUCAAAACCCCAUCAUGGCUCCACCAGCACGAAGAAAGAAAUAUGAAGCCAGUUUCAACACCUAACACAUUUGAUUUGAGAUUUUUGCAGAAUGAAUAGGGGCUAAUGGAGCUGUAGCUCCAGGUUCAUGACUGUGGAAUAGGCCCACCUAACUUUUAAUCUUUCCAUCAACAUUCCAUUUCACAGGACACCAAUUUUGGGAAGCAUGGAUUUGGUUGAGAGAUGAAAGCUAAAGACGAAAGUGCAAUCACCGGAGCUGGACUUUUUUUUUUUUUUUUUUUAUUCCUUGUUUUGGGGGACCAGCAUAGAAAGGGUUGCUCUCACCAAGAACAGUAUUUUGGUAAAACACUGUUUCUUGGUUAAGGGGUUGGUCAUUUUCUACCUGAUGAAAAAAAGAUGAGGGUCUUUUUUCACAAACAACCACACAAGUCCCAAUAAAUGUUUAAUAUCUUAGGGCAAGAACAGUGUGAUCUUUGGUCGGGUAAAUGAAUAAUCCUGGUCAAUGAUCAGUCAAAUGACAGACAGCUGGGAUGGAAUGAUGGGGAACCUGACUAUUUUCCUAUAAAUAAUGAAAUAUUGGAUAUUUACACUAUAGGCUAUUUUGCGUAGUGGCAUCUAUCAUUAUUGGAAUUUAAAUAGAUAUCGAUACACUGAUCAGCCAAAUUAAAAACACCUGUCUCAUACCAUGUAGGCCCCCCUCGUGAUGUCAAAGCAGCUCUGAUGUGUGGAAGAAUAGACUCCACAAAUCCUCUGAAUGUAUCUGGCACCAAGACAUUAGCAGCAGAUCCUUUAAGUCCUAUAAAUUCUGAGGUGUGGCCUCCAUGGAUUGGGAUUUGUUGUUCCAGCACAUCCCAAGAUAUUGAAUCGGAUUGAGAUCUGAUGAAUUUGGAGGCUAAGUCAACACUUGGAACUCUUUCUCAUGUUCCUCAAACCAUUGCUGAACACUUUUUGCAGUUUAGCAGGGUGCAUUAUUCUACUGAAAGAGGCCACUGCUAUCUGGGAACACCAUUGCCAUGAAGGGGUGUACGUGGUCUGCAACAAUCUCUUAGUAGGUGGUACCUGUCAAAGUAAUAUCCACAUGAAUGCCAGGAUCCAAGGUUUCCCAACAGAACAUCAUAACACUCAGUCUACUUGCCCUUUUCCCGUAGUGCAUUCUGUUGCCAACUCUUUCCCAGAUAAACAAUGCCAUCACAUGAUCUAAAAGAAAGCAUGAUGCAUUAAACCAGGCAACCUUUUUUCAUUGCUAGAUGGUCCAGUUCUUACACUCACGUCAUCUGACCCAGUUGUCUAGCCAUCACUAGUUGCCCAUUGUCAAAGUCACUCAGAUUUUAUCACUUGUCCAUUUUUCUUGCUUCCAACACAUGAAAUUUCAAGAACUGACUGUUCACUUGCUGCCUAAUAUAUCCCCACCCCUUGACAGUUGCCAUUGUAACAAUAUAUUCAAUGUUAUUAACUUUCCCUGUCAGUGGUUUUAAUGUUGUGGCUGAUCAGUGUAUUUGAAAAUGUUUGUGUUACAAUUUUGUUAAUGAAAGCGGCACUGUCAUGCCGAACUUACCUUUCCUCAAUCUCUUCCUCUUCUCCCCCUCUCUCAGGAUCUGUUAUUCUUUUCUUCCUGUCUUCUUUAGUUUUCUUUAAAAUCAUAAGACAAAGUAGGGACUCUUUGCCUUAUGGAGGAUUCCUCCGCUUGACCAGCUCUGACCAGCGGAGGAGCAAAGUGUGCUUCAUUUCCGCUGGUCAGAGCAAUUUUCCCAUGAUCCUUACCUUCCCUCUGUGUUCCCACGAUGCUUCCUGUCACUUUACACAAAACUGCCGAAUUGCGUUCUAACUGAAUGAGAACAGUAUGUUCGUUUCUUUUAGAACUCAAUUCGGCACUUUGUUCGGAUCGGAAUUUCAUUAGAAUGAAUGAAACUCUGAUCCUAUUCAUUGCUGUGGCUGCAUCUUGCAGCCGCUUAGUAGAUAACUCCCUAAUUCCCACGGUAUCAGGGAGUUAUCUACUAAAAGGCUGAAAGACCUAAAUUGGUCUUUCAGCCACAUUUACUAAUACUAAGUAAAGGUUACUUAGUAUUAGUAAAUUAAAUGCCCCUACUCGCUAUACUGCGAGUAGGGGCAUGUCUGAUAAACAGUGAGCAGCCUGUGGCUGCUCACUGUAAAAAAAACAAAAAAACUAUUGGCCCCCACCCCUAAACGACGGGUGGGGGCCCUAAAAUAAAAUAAGGGGGGAGACCUAAUUACCUACUGCCCCCCCGCCCCCACCCCUGGGCGGCGGGUGGGGGCAAUAAUGAGGGGGGGGAACCUACUGCCCCCCCGCCCCCACCCCUGGGCGGCGGGAGGGGGCCAUAAGGAGAAUGGGGGGGAACUACUGCCCCCCCCGGCCCCCACCCCUGGGCGGCGGGUGGGGGCCCUAAGUCAAUUACCCCCCCGAUCCAAGGUGACUAGGGGUCCCCAAGCCCCUAGUCACCCACCCCCCACCCAAAAAAAAAAGUCCCUACCUACCCCCCUCACCCUAAAAAAUAGUGAGGGGGGGGAUAAAAUAACUAACCUGUAAAAUAAAAUUAAACUUACCAUUCGACGUCUUCUUUUUUCUCAAAUCUUCUUUUUUCAGCCCCAAAAAAGGCCAAAUAAAAAACCAUCAUAACCGUCGAAUUGAAAAUAAAAUAAAAAUCCAGAGCGUAAAAAAAAAAACAGACGAAAAAUAAAAAAAUAAUCCAUCUUCACCCAUGGAGGGCUCCGCGCAGACUGAGCUCUGCAGGGCGGGGGAAGGCUUAUAAAGCCUUGCCACGCCCUGCAAUUAGGCUAAGAACACUCUGAUUGGUGGGUUUAAGCCAAUCAGAGUGCUCUUUGUCAUUUUACACAGUGUGGGAAAAUUGAACUUUCCCACGCUGUGUAAAAUGACACAGAGUACUGUGAUUGGAUGGCUUGAAAUCCAUCCAAUCACAGUGCUCUGUGUCAUUUUACACAGCGCGGGAAAAUUCAAAAGAACUUUCCCACGCUGUGUAAAAUGACACAGAGCACUGUGAUUGGAUGGCUUGAAAUCCAUCCAAUCACAGUGCUCUGUGUCAUUUUACACAGCGUGGGAAAGUUCUUUUGGAUUUUCCCACGCUGUGUAAAAUGACACAGAACACCGUGAUUGGAUGGCUUGAAAUCCAUCCAAUCACAGUGCUCUGUGUCAUUUUACACAGCGUGGGAAAGUUCUUUUGGAUUUUCCCACGCUGUGUAAAAUGACAAAGAACACUCUGAUUGGCUUAAACCCACCAAUCAGAGUGUUCUUAGCCUAAUUGCAGGGCGGGGCAAGGCUUUACAAGCCUUCCCCCGCUCUGCGGAGCUCAGUCUGCGCGGAGCCCUCCAUGGGUGAAGAUGGAUUAUUUUUUUGCGCUCGGGUUUUUUUUUUUUCGUCGGGUUUUUUAAUUUUGCGCUCGGGAUUUUUAUUUUAUUUUCAAUUCGACGGUUAUGAUGGUUUUUUUAUUUGGCCUUUUUUGGGGCUGAAAAAAGAAGAUUUGAGAAAAAAGAAGACGUCGAAUGGUAAGUUUAAUUUUAUUUUACAGGUUAGUUAUUUUAUCCCCCCCCUCACUAUUUUAUACGGUGAGGGGGGUAGGUAGGGACUUGUUUUUUUUUUUGGGUGGGGGUGGGUGACUAGGGGCUUGGGGACCCCUAGUCACCUUGGGGGACGGGGGGGUAAUUGACUUAGGGCCCCCACCCGCCGCCCAGGGGUGGGGGCCGGGGGGGAGGACAGUAGGUCCCCCCCCCCUCAUUAUCUUCAUGGCCCCCACCCGCCGCCCAGGGGUGGGGGCCGGGGGGGGGCAGUAGGUCCCCCCCCCAUUCUCAAUAUGGCCCCCACCCGCCGCCCAGGGGUGGGGGCCGGGGGGGGGAGGACAGUAGGUCCCCCCCCUCAUUAUCUUCAUGGCCCCCACCCGCCGCCCAGGGGUGGGGGCCGGGGGGGGGGCAGUAGGUCCCCCCCCCAUUCUCAUUAUGGCCCCCACCCGCCGCCCAGGGGUGGGGGCCGGGGGGGGGGAGUACUGUAGGCCCCCCCCCCCAUUCUCAUAUGGCCCCCACCCGCCGCCCAGGGGUGGGGGCGGGGGGGAGGACAGUAGGUCCCCCCCCCUCACCCGCCGCCCAGGGGUGGGGGGAGUACUCCCCCCCCAUUCUCACUGUUUAGGGGUGGGGGCCAAUAGUUGUUUUUUUUUGUUUUACAGUGAGCAGCCACAGGCUGCUCACUGUUUAGUGGACAUGCCCCUACUCGCGGUAUAGCGAGUAGGGGCAUUUGGGAGAUUUUAAUCUCCCUUGUGCUAUUAUGGGGGUCAUAUUGACCCCCAUAGAGUGAGAGGGGGACCUGGGGGGCUUAUGAAGUGGUGGGGAGCACUGCUCCCUGCCGCUUCUAUAGUUACAUAUUACAAGGAGGGAGCUGCGUGCCGGUAGCUCCCUCCUUGUAAUAAACUGCACGAACAAACUAACACUGAUACAUUGUGUUUGUUUGUUUGUUCGGCUGAUCUUUCUAUUCACUCAUUCGUCUGUCUGAUGAAUGAAUGAAUAGCUGAAAUUCCCGUUCGCAUGUCCAGGUGUUUCACUGGGCAUGUGCGGGAAUCUCAGUGUCUGCCUAGUGUGGGCUGAUGACGUGUCCCACAGGGACUUCACCUACCCACACAAAGAUGGCUGCGCCCUGAAUCAAGAUCGGGGCAGAAAAUAAGGAUUUAAAAAUAGGUAAUGUGGGGGGCUUAGGGGCAUUUGGGGGUGACUAGUGGGUCAAUUGGAUGUAGUGGAGGCGGGAGGGGGGUUAAAAAAAAAACAGAAUUCUGCAUGACAGUGCCGCUUUAAGAAAAACUAAAUGGUGCUUACUUGAUUAAGUUUUGUGAUUCAUGAACAAGAUUCCAACAGCAAUUCAAUAAGUAAGGUUAAAUCCAGAGAAAAUAAUGCAGUUCCUUUUUGGAAUGAAUUUACAUGUUUCAGUGGAAUGGAAUUAAUGCAAUUAACCCCUUAACCUCUUAAGGAUGGCGGCGUUCUGUGUCGUCCUUUUUAGGGUGGCUCUAAACGCUGGAGGGCGGCAUAGAACGUCAACGCCAUCCAGGGGACUUACCGGUGUCCCUAGUGAUCCCACUCUGGCGGUCACGAUCUUGGGGUCUGCCUGGGAGCGUUGCCCGAUCCGGCCCUCCCGGGCCACGUAAUCAUGGGGUUCUUGUGAUCACAUGGCUGGAAUAGCUGACCUGAACUUCCAGGGUGUCAUCCUAGAGCCUGCAAAAAGUUUUAAAAGUUAAAAUAAAGCAGUUUAUAGAUUAAAUAAAAAGUACUUAGAUCAUAUACAGUGGGACCUCAGUUUACAAAUUUAAUGCGUUCUUAUUGUGAAACAUUUGUAAACCGAAACGUGGUUUCCCAUAGGAAUGCAUUGAAAACCAAUUAAUCCAUUCUGGAGGUCAGAAAAAAGUCAAAAUGAGCUGGCAUGGAAACCAACCUACAAUGCAGAGCACACAAUAAAAGGCAUACAAACGACGAAGCUCAGCUUCCUACCUUUCCACAGCUUAAAGGACCACUCUAGGCACACAGACCACUUCAGCUUAAUGAAGUGGUCUGGGUGCCAGGUCCCUCUAGGAUUAACCCUUUUUUUAUAAACAUAGCAGUUUCAGAGAAACUGCUAUGUUUAUAAAUGGGUUAAUCCAGCCUCCAAAGCCUCUAGUAGCUGUCUCAUUGACAGCCGCUAGAGGCGCUGAAAAUCACAGUGAGAAGACGCCAGCGUCCAUAGGAAAGCAUUAUGAAUGCUUUCCUAUGAGACCGGCUGAAUGCGGGCGCAGCCCCUGCAAUGCAUGUGCAUUCAGCUGAAGAGGAGGAUCNNNNNNNNNNNNNNNNNNNNNNNNNNNNNNNNNNNNNNNNNNNNNNNNNNNNNNNNNNNNNNNNNNNNNNNNNNNNNNNNNNNNNNNNNNNNNNNNNNNNAAUAGAUGAAAUUCCCGUUCGCAUGUCCAGGUGUUUCACUGGGCAUGUGCGGGAAUCUCAGUGUCUGCCUAGUGUGGGCUGAUGACGUGUCCCUGAGGGACUUCAUCUACCCACACAAAGAUGACGGCGCCCUGAAUAUAGAUCGGGGCAGAAAAUAAGGAUUAAUAAAUAGGUAAUGCUGGGGGCUUAGGGGCAUUUGGGGGUGACUAGUGGGUCAAUUGGAUGUAGUGGAGGCGGGAGAGGGGUUAAAAAAAAAAACAGAAUUCGGCAUGACAGUGCCGCUUGAAAUCUAGGCAGUAUGUUUAGGUGAUACAUUUAUAAACUUAGUGAAUAAUCUGCUAGUUGAGAUACAUUGCAGCACACCUGGUUCUUCGGCACAGAGAUUUAGAGUAAUUCGCAGAUACAACGAAUGUAUAAUCAGCCAUUGAAUUAUCUGUUAUUAAGUAAUAUUUCUCUCCUUGUCUGAGCACAUUAAUUACACAUUGAAUAAUAUAAUCCCAUUACUCCUUCCUUUGAUCUGUCUAAACUUCUUGUAGUCUCAAUAGGUCAGUCUUAUGACAGUGUCAACCAGUCCAAUUUCAGAGUACCCUAUCUCCAGAUAAAAAUCUAAUUUGCACUGACAUAGCGGCUCUCAAGGAAGUGUCAAAUCUCAUUUGCUGUGACAACACCACAAAUCAACUCAAGCAUUUACAUGUGCGGCUUAGCUUGGCUAUAGAAGAGUUAAAGUAAAUUGAGCAGAAAUUCAUAUGGCCAAGUAUAUAAUGCAUUUACAUACCAUCCAUCUAAGUCCCGCAAUGUUAAUUUAUUUAUAAGAAAUAUAUGAAUAGUUCUUAAAGGGGCACUGAAGCAUUUUCCCAUUGAGCCAUAAGCCAAUUAUGCUUGCUUAACAUUGCAGUCUACGGUUCUGAAAUUCUGUAAUUGUUUUCUUUGAGUCUGUUCUGGUACCGCAGGUUCAACGAAUCAUGGUUACUGCAAGCAUUUCACUGGUUGUGAAACAAGGUUAUAUGGGGGUCUGGGGCAGGAAUAUUCGUGAAACCACCAAUUCAAAUUUUUUUCAACAAAGAAUUUACUAAGGGGAACACCAGUUCAAUAUAUAUCAAAAUAUUAGAAUAUUGUUAAAAAUAUUAAAUCCUUUUAAAGAUGUAUCAAAAAUGUUAAAUCUUUUGAAAAGCUUGUCCAAAAAUAUAAAAUCAAAGCCAUAUUUAAGUAAUAAAGACGCUCUACUCCCAGAGGGGCAGCAACAUAAUGCUUUCCAUUACAAUCUCAUCUCUUGCAGUGAAAAGGUUAUUGUGUGUUCUAAUGUACUGCGCUGUCUCUUUGCCUAUCUAGAAGCCUGGGUGAAGCUCCCAGUACUCUCUGGCCCACUGAUAAUUGCCGGCUGGGAGUCUUUCCCUCAGCACUCAUCAUUAGAGCGAGCUGCCCUGAGCACGCUCUGUCUGGUAUAAUAGCACUAGAUUGAUGGGGACUGCCCGAUGACUUGUAACUAACUCUGUGCUGCCCAGAACACAUUGAGAUCCAGAACAGAAACUGCGCAAGGGAAUAUUGGGAAGGAAGAUAAGUUUGUGUGUAACGUGCUUUUAGAAAACUCGAAACACAGAUCAUGCUAAAUGCACCUGGAAGUACAGAAUUCAGGCACAUCUUUGCAAAUAAAUGCAUCUUCGGCACUUGGCAUUUCUGCGGCAUUCAGGGUUAUGUCAAGAUUAAUGUGGUGAUUGGUCAUCAAUUAGAUGUUGGGUCGGCAGAGUUUGCAGGAUAAUAACUGAGAGAAUGUUGUCUGAAAGUUUGCCUCCACGGCCUUAUGAUUUAUGAUUUUAGAGAUUAACCCCAUAAAUAGGUACACGAAAACAAACAUAUACAAGGUACAACAAUUCUAGCCCUUGAAUCGGAAGUGAAAGAUUAUUAUUAUUAUUAUGAUGUUAUUAUUUAUAUAGCGCCACCAAAUUCUGCAUCGCUUUACAAUGGGUGGACGAACAGACAUGUAGUUGUAACCAGACAAGUUGGACACACAGGAACAGAGGGGUUGAGGGCCCUGCUCAAUGAGCUUACAUGCUAGAGGGAGUGGGGUAAAAUGACACAAAAGGUAAGGAUAGUAUUAGACUAGCGACAGUUGCAAGAGAGGAAUCAGUUGGGAGGUAUUAACAGUUUAAUUGAUACACUUUUAUGAAGAAGUGGGUUUUUAACGAUUUUUUGAAGGAGUGGAGACUGGGUGAGCAUCUAACGGAGGAGGGAAGCGAGUUCCACAGGAACGGUGCAGCCCUCAAGAAAUCUUGAAGGCGAGCAUCAGAGGUGGGAGUACGGACAGAAGAUAGAUGUAAGUCUUCAGCAGAUCGUAAGGGCCUAGACGGGACACACUUGUGUAUUAGGGAGAAUAGAUAUGUGUUCAAGAUAAAUAAUGUUCAGAUCUGCGUUACUUUUGCACAGUCUUACAGCAUUUAUAUGGUGUAUCGAUAAAGCAGAUGUACAUUAAAGCGGAACUGUAACAAAAAUAUUAACUUUAUCUAAUUUGCUUCUAUAUUACUCCCCGUGUUUGACUCUCUCUUUAUUAUUUUCCUGAGUGCUCUAGUUUUCAUAAAUACAUAAAAGGUAGUGACUAUUUUUCCACAUGUAUAGCAGUCAAUAUAAAACAUGACAAUGAGCAAGGUUCUGUUGCAGUUGCCAAUCACAUUUACCCACACUCCAUUAGUAAAAGAAUCUUGCAGGAGGGGAGACAGCAGACUUCAGGGAAAGUGGAAAAAAAAAAUGGCUGCUCCCAGGUAUUGAAAACUGGCACAAAAAAAGUUAAAAUAAAUCUAGACGAAGGCAAGAGGCAAGGGAAGAGGGUGUAAUUAUUAAUAUAAAGGGGCAUAAUGAAAGGAAAACCAAAAGACAAACCAAACUAAACAUGUCCCUUUAAGAAGUAUAUUGGUUCUUACUGGAAUUCCCCAUGUAUGAUCUGAUCUAUGCAACUGCACAUGUGGACACAUAUUAUACAAACAUUCAACCACAAGCCACCCAAGAGUAGUGGGAGUUUGAGCGCAGGGCUUAAUUUUGUGUGUUUGUAUUACACAGUCAUGUUAGAGUGCUGCUACCCACCCAGUGUGUUCCCUAUUAAGGGUUAAUAAGUAUGUAGGGGGUUUAUAAGAAUACACCUUUUUGUCUCAUAACAGAUUUUGCCUUUUAGCUGAAAGCAGGAAGGUGAAUUGUUAGUGUGGGACUUAUUGAUGUGGCAGGUAAGUUUACACUUUAGUGGCCAUUGGAGUGAUAUUCUGGGUCAGCAAUAGCUAAUGUAUUCAUCAACCCAAAUUCAUUUAUCUAUUUAGGCUGGUGAAUAAUAUAGCUAUUGUUGACUCAAGAGUAGUGGGAGUCUGAGCGCCGGUACAAGUUUUAUUCCCAAUACAUGGAAUUGGAAUUGUCGUUGCCAAUGGCAGCUUAACCUAUGUUAACCCUUUUUUUGGUGUUGCCCCUUGUUUCUCACAGUAAAAGGCUAAUCUCAGACUGAAUGACCUAUAGAGAGAUGUAACAGCCAGUUAAUUGGUUACAAAUUACCGUAUCCUGUUGAUUUGUCAGCUGAAUAUGUUGUGUGUGGGAAACUGUGCCAACCCUCUUCUAAUUCCCAUUCUUCCUUCUUCUCACGGACUCUCCUCCCAUAUACUAAUGUCUCUCCUCUUUCCCCUGUCUUUACCUCUUUUCUGUUCUUAAAUGACACGGGAUUCACUAAAGUAAAAACUGUUGAGAAUUGAAAGUGAAUAUCAUAUUUUAUUCCAAAAUAGACAAAAUUGAAAAAUUCUCCUAGUCAGGUGAGAGUGCCCUUAAAUUUGAAACUCACUUUGAAUUCCUGACAUUUCUCACCUUAGUAAAUAACCCUGUUAUUAUUUCGAGAUAUAGCUAUUUGCGAGUUAUGAAAAUGGUGCCCUUUAUAUGCCUUUAAGCUUUGAUAAUUCAGUAUGAAUUAAAAACUAUAUAUUUUGUGGCUUUAGGAAUGUGAAGGUGCUCUACAUCUUGAUCAUCAUACUAAUCACUUGCAGUUUAACUAUAUCAUUCUCAUACCACCCAACUCCAGCAUUCAGAGAAUUGGGAUACUGGUAGGGGGGAGUAAAGGGAACAGGCCAGUGAUGCGAUGCGCCACCUUUACUGGCAGUACCGGAUACACGCCAGGUUACCUGCCCGUCUUUUAAAGCCAGAUACUGUGGGCUGACCCCGAAUGGAGCACUAUAUUUUAGUUCUCCCUGCAAAGUCCUAGUGCCCAUCUUACGAUGCCUUUGCACUAUGCUUGUUGGUGACAGAUUCCUGGUGUCCCAAAAAGCAGUACCAGGGAUCUAAUUCGGGACUCUGGAACAGCAAAUCAAAAUCGGGUCUGUCCCACAGAAAUCGGGAUGGUUGAAAGGAAUGCAUCCUACGCCCUGAUCCUAGACAUGUAUACGCAUAUCAGUAAAUGAACUUUCACUCACCCUUACUGGAACCAAAACAGGGCAAUGCAUUCAGUUCCCGAGAGCAAAUAAGCAAAAUCAUAUAAAUAUUCUAUUUACCAUGCCUUCAUUGAAUUGUGGUAUGGCAUGUAGGUGACAUGUGAAUGUCUGCUUGUCUCCCUCCCGUAGGCCACAGCUACACGAAAGGACCUCUCACCUUCAGCUGGUGGCAAUUGCAGGGGAACAGGGCAAAGUUAACAUUUCUCAAGGGAGAACUAAACACCCGCUCCCUCCUCCUUCUCAGGACAUAGCACAUUACAGCCACUGGAUAGAAGCACAGUCAAGCUGAUAUGGCUUUAGGGAAGGUGACAGCGAGCGGAACAGGGAUCUGUCACAGGCUGUUUAGAUCAGCCCAAAUCUCCCUCUGAGAUUGAGAAGCGAGGACAAGGAUUCAAGGUUUCCGAGGCUGUAGGAAUGUGAAGAGCCAUUACUCUGUAUUUACCGACCCAGCAUUCCAUUCAUUUUUAAUAAGUCCCCAGAUAAUGUUUUAUUCAUGCAAUUAAUGGUGGAUGCAUCAGUUGUACUCAAAGAAAAUACCAAGUGAACUCAUUUUUGGAGAAUGAUAAAAUAAUUGAAUUAUAUACUGUAAUCUUUACCCAAUAAUGUUUCAGCCACAGGUUGAUUUUUCCUGUAUAUAUUAGGCCUUAAAAAAAAAGUUAAAAAAAAAAAAACCAGGAUCUCACAAAAGUGAGUACACCCCUCACAUUUUUGUAAAUAUUUUAUUAUAUCUUUUCAUGUGACAACACUGAAGAAAUGACACACUGCUACAAUGUAAAGUAGUAAGUGUACAGCCUGUAUAACAGUGUAAAUUUGCUGUCCCUUCAAAAUAACUUAACACACAGCCAUUAAUGUCUCAACCGUUGGCAACAAAAGUGAGUACACCCCUAAGUGGAAAUGUCCAAAUUGGGCCCAAAGUGUCAAUAUUUUGUGUGGCCACCAUUAUUUUCAGCACUGCCUUAACCCUCAUGGGCAUGGAGUUCACCAGGGCUUCACAGGUUGCCACUGGAGUCCUCUUCCACUCCUCCAUGAUGACAUCACGGAGCUGGUGGAUGUUAGAGACCUUGCACUCCCCCACCUUCCAUUUGAGGAUGCCCCACAGAUGCUCAAUAGGGUUUAUGUCUGGAGACAUGCUUGGCCAGUCCAUCACCUUUACCUUCAGCUUCUUUAGCAAGGCAGUGGUCGCCUUGGAGGUGUGUUUGGGGUCGUUAUAAUGUUGGAAUACUACCCUGUGGCCCAGUCUCUGAAGGGAGGGGAUCAUUCUCUGCCUUAGUAUGUCACAGUACAUGUUGACAUUCAUGGUUCCCUCAAUGAACUGUAGCUCCCCAGUGCCAGCAGCACUCAUGCAGGCCCAGAUCAUGACACCACCAUGCUUGACUGUAGGUAAGACACACUUGUCUUUGUACUCCUCACCUGGUUGCCACCACACACGCUUGACACCAUCUGAACCAAAUAAGUUUAUCAUGGGCUUCAGACCACAUCACGUGGUUCCACUAAUCCAUGUCCUUAGUCUGCUUGUCUUCAGCAAACUUUUUGCAGGCUUUCUUGUGCAUCAUCUUUAGAAGAGGCUUCCUUCUGGGACGACAACCAUGCUGACCAAUUUGAUGCAGUGUGCAGCGUAUGGUCUGAGCACUAACAGGCUGACCCUCCCCUCACCCCUUCAACCUCUGCAGCAAUGCUUGCAGGACUCAUACAUCUAUUUCCCAAAGACAACCUCUGGAUAUGACGCUGAGCACGUGCACUCAACUUCUUUGAUCGACCAUGGUGAGGCCUGUCAUGAGUGGAACCUGUCCUGUGAAACUGCUGUAUGGUCUUGCCCACCGUGCUGAAGCUCAGUUUCAGGGUCUUGGCAAUCUUCUUAUAGCCUAGGCCAUCUUUAUAUAGAGCAACAAUUCUUUUUUUCAGAUCCUCAGAGAAUUCUUUGCCAUAAGGUGCCAUGCUGAACUUCCAGUGACCAGUAGGAGAGAGUGUGAGAGCGAUAACACCAAAUUUAACCCAUUUGGACAUUUCCACUUAGUAGUGUACUCACUUUUGCUGCCAACAGUUUAGACAUUAAGAGUUGUGUGUAGUUAUUUUGAGGGGACAGCAAAUUUAAGGGACGUCGGAAUCCAUGAAAGCUGAUUUGGAUAUGUGGCAGGUCUUUCUACUUGACUUUAAUGGGCAUGUAUAUUUCCAAAGGCCAGCUGCUUCUUCGCCGGAUUUGGAAUUAUUUACGGACGUGUCGGAGAGCAUCGGGUUUGGGGCUUAUUUCGCGGGACACUGGUGUGCAGAACCAUGACCGCAUGAGUGGAAGGCCAGCUUGCUCGCAACUUGGCGUUCCUGGAAUUCUUUCCUCUAGUGGUGGCGCUGACAUUGUGGCGGCUAGAACUGAGGAACAAGAAGGUUAUCUUUUUUACCGACAACACAUCAGUGGUUGAGGUUGUUAAUGGUUUAUCUGCUUCUUCUAUCCCUGUUAUUCGGCUCCUUCGCAGCUUUGUUCUCUCUUGCAUGCAAUUUAAUAUUGUGUUCCGGGCACGUCACGUGCCUAGGUUGUUGAAUCUGUGGCUGACUCGCUCUCUCGUUUUCAGUGAGAGCAGUUUCGGGCAGCAGUUUCAAGCAGCGGCUCCUGGCACUCAGAAGGAGGGAGUGCCUUGUCCGCCGGAAGUGUGGUAGCACGGGACCUCUUGCUUGGCGGACUCAUAAAGUGGUCGUUGGCGCCAUCCACCUGAGUGGCCUAUGUCAAGGUUUGUUAAGAAUGGGAUGCUGCACUGGUGUGUGUGAGAGGGCAGGACUUGGCUGUGGCGCGGUUUGACACUUUGUUAGGGUUAAUUUGUAGGUUAUUUGCUUCAGGGGCAUCUCUGUCUGCUAUAGGGCCAAUGUCACGAACACACCCUACUCCAAGAGUGCGCGUGACGUAGUUGUGGUUGUGAAAGGGUUAAAGUUCACUAUUUGUCUGCACUAGACCGGAAAUAAUAACAAAAUCCCCCUUAAACACCACCCACACUUAAACAUAAUAAUAUAACUAUUACUAUUUUAACGCUGCCACCACCAAGACAAUUUAUAAAUGGGGUGCCUUGGUCCUCCAGGUAAAUCAAUAAUAAAACCCACCAAAUAUUACUUAGUACAAUAUUUAAGUUAUUGCAAAAAUACUAACUAGUCUCUUCAGGUAUCGUGAUUCUUAACCAGACAAAGGCAAAACUUAAUAAAUGAAUGUUUAUUAUGAGCAAAAGAUAGUCACAGUGCAUAUAAAAAAUAUAUGAUAAACAAAUUAUUUACACCAACAACAGAUAAAAACAAAAAGGAUAAAAUACAGAAGUCCUAAUUACUCACUUAGGUUUUCAAAGUACAACUUCUGUCCAGGGGGUCUCUGGCAAGGAAACAUGGUGACUCACUCAAAAUUAGAUCUUGGCCCCAAGCAAGUACACAAACACCCUUCAGAAUCACAGGAGAUAUACCCUGUGAAUUGCCACGCCUCAUCCAGGGGUGGAGCAAUAGGGAUACUAAGUGACCACCUCCUUUGUUUCAGAAACCAACAAGCCACAUACAAGCUUUUGUUUUUAUCUCCUCUACUGUACUUGCCACAGAAAUAAUAAUUGCCUCUAUGAAUUUGUUAUAGUUUUCCCAUUCCAAAGACAUGUUGCACGCCCCACCCACGAUCCAAUAGGAUGGACAUCCCAAGUCCUGCCACACGGUUUAAGUUGUGCAACUCAUGUUUGGGCUUAAUUAAAAGAUUGGGCUUGUCCCAUUCCAAAUAUAAUAAAAAUUAGGCUUAAUUAUUAACCUGUGGGUAAGUAUGAAUUUUUCACUUGGAUAAGAUACUGGAACACAAGGAUCUUCAUGAAACGAAUCCCAUUACCAUUUCAAAUGAUUGAACUAUCCUUUACAAGGUACAUGCCAAAUGGAUGAAGAGACAUUCAGACUUUUCCAAGUGUAGAACCUCACACCUUGCAUACCCUUGAUUACUUCACAUCCAUAUAGUAAAAUCCUUUUCACAUUGCUAUGCCAUUCACACUACCCCUUCUGUCAUCUGACCUCUGUGGGGGUCCCAGCUUCAAAAGAUAUAACCCCUGUUGACCUCAGCAAUAGCAUCUCUGUAAUUUGUACAUUAAAGGAUGAUAUUCCAUAGUGUAAUAAUAAAUUAUACACCCUUGCCGUGACAGCCAAUAUGACAGUUUUUGCAUUAUUAUUUAAGCUUAAUGGGUGGGAGGAUAUAACCAAGUAUUUCCUAGUGUGUCAGGCUAUUAAGGGGUUUUGGAAAGGCAGGUCAUCACGGUAUUAAUGAAGGCCGGUAUCCUUCAAAAUUCUGCAAGGUUUACUCGGUGUGCUUCCAGAGGCUUUGCUGUUUUCCAUAGCAUUUAGUUGGGCCUUUUUCGGGGCGUUUAGGCUAAGUGAGUUGGUGAGCAGCAACCGCUCGGGUGGGGAUGGGUUACAUUGUUCGGACGUGGAUCUGUGGCAGAAUCGGUUGGUGCUACAUCUACACCAUUCCAAAACUGACGUCUUCAGGAAGGGUGCCGUGGUUACGCUUUUUUUGGUGCCAGGUAUGGCGGAAUGUCCUGUUGCAUGUACAGUGGCUUUUCAGGUGGUUCAUUCAGGGAUAGGAGGUUCAUUUUUGUUGCAUGCCGAUGGUUCUGCGUGUGGCCUAAAUUUCAGUUCCUUAGGGUUUUUCAGUUGGCCCCUGGGGCGUUUGGGCUUCGGUCCUCACAGUUAGGUACACACUCGUUCAGGAUUGGGGGUGCAUCGGUUGGGUUUGUGGGAUGAACUGGUCAAAAAGUUCGGGAGGUGGGAAUCGGUGAGAUUCAGGUCAUAUGUGAGGCCCAACCACUUGGUAUAAGUUUUGUUGAAUUGGUUAUGUUUGUUCUCUGUUGGUAAUGUGUUUUUCUUUUGCAGGUUGAAUUGUGUGGGUGAUGUGGACACUCCUAUGUGUACUGGGCACAACGGAGAGCUGCAGUUCGUCAUCAAGGCAUACAGCUGGGCUUUCCAGGCUCAAUGGUGCAGAUUGAAUGGUUUGGUUUUAGGGGGUUCAGUUGGCAAGGGGUUGGCUUUGAGCUAUUCAAGAGGAUUAGUGAGGGUUCAGUGCCUAACUUUGGUUUUUUUCAUGCUGGGGGGAAUGACUUAGGUCUGUUUCGCUGAGGGCUUUGCUCACUGAGAUGAAAAGGGAUUUGAAUAGGUUGAGGCAGUUGGUCCCUGACGUGGUUUUCAUAUGGUCAGAGAUGGUACCGCAAUUGCAAUGGCACCAUGCCAAGGACCACCAGGCAGUGGCAAAAAGUAGGGUAGAUGAAUAAAAUGAUGGCAACUUAUGUUAGGUCCUUGAGGGGGGGGGGGUUGUCAGGCAUUGAGUGUUGGAAGCUCAGUUGGCGAGUUAUUACAGGCAGGAUGGGGUACAUCUAUUGGAGGUGGCUACAAAUUUUUUGGUGUUAGGGUUUCAGGAAGGUUUACACAGAGCCUUGUUUUUUGGUGGGGGCACUCAGGUAGCUCAAGGGGUCGAGCUCUGAGAUAUGGCGGGGGAUGAAUAGAGAAGUUGGGGGAGUAGAUUGUACAUGGAAGAAAGCUGGAAAUCAUGCCCUCGGUGGCAAUGGUUAUGUUAAUUAUAUGUCAUAAUGUGGUUUUACUUAUUGUGAUGUGGGUCAUUGUCUGGGGUAGUAUUGUUAAAGGAGUUGGGGGUGAUAUGUUAUGUCAAUAUGUGACAAUGAUCUUAAAAAUAUUUUAAGUAUUAUUUAUAUAUUAUUAAAGCUGUGACCGAGUAUGUUUGGGGGGUUUUGGGGUUUGUUACGCAUAUGCCAGAAAGGCGACUAUGCAUAUGUCAUGACUUCACAUGUGCAGUCCCAUGUUGAAAUGUGUGCUGACAUGCUGUCAUGUUUAUCCACAUACCUACAGUUUCACAGAAUUCAAGCUUAUAGAGAAUCGGGUGGUAUCUAACAAUACUUUCUUGAGAAACUCGGUGUAGAAUUUGUAGCAGUUUUCUCUGUACAUCUGAUUUUACUAGCCCUUAUAUAUAAAGGUUUGCUUCAAAGUUCUAUUUAAAACAGCAAAUCUUGUUGCUUGAUACACAUAUUCUGUUCUCAUAAUAUGAUGGUUUUUUACAUAAUUUGCCCAUUUUUAAUGAAGGUGUUUCAUGUGCACCGAUUGGUUUGUACAUUUCCUACAAUUGUAGCUGCUAUAAUUUAGUAGCAAUAGUGUCUUCUUGUAUUGUCCUGCUGUCAGUAGUGGUGAAACUUGCUUGCUGAUGUAAGUAGAGAUUGCUUAGAGGUGCGUUAUACUUCUGCCAGUGCGUGUGUCAUCACCAUGCACAUUGUGGAAAACACAUAAUCACAAUGACUUGCAAAGGUAAUAAAACAGGCCCUCUACCCAUUCUACAGUAAUCGGAAGGGACCAGUAUGUCUAUAUCAAACUGUCAAACCAGAGCCGAUAUAACCCCAGUAACACAAUGCUGAAAAUGUGUUUAUUGAUGUAUUCAAAAACGGUCUUGUUUCAGGGUGAAGGGGUUCUCAUUACCUAACCUAUUUUUCAAUUAUAGAGUCUCAGUCUCCUCACUAGUUCAUAUUGCCCUAAGGUUCUCCAGGAGAAGCAAGAUGUGCUAUGUAGACCUGAUACGCCAGUUCUGCUCCCACACACCAAAUGAUGAGCUUCUCUUAAUUGACCUCUCCAAAGGCACAUCAGUGUUGUAAUUGCAACUAUCUUUCACUACUAUACUUUAUGGUCUGUGCAAACACUUAAGAAUGGGUUAUCCAUGCAAGACUACUCAUCUUAGGUAACCUACUAAUUCAACCAGACUGAUCUUGAGACCCAGAGCAUUUCUUGUGGUAGACAGCUCAUUGCUAGACCAUAGUGGGCUGUUCAACCUUUCAUAACUCCCCCUCAGCUAUCGCCCUCUACAGGAAGAUAGAAAACAUAACCUCUCCCAGCUCUUUCACUGUCUACAACUAGACGUUUUCUCAUUUCUUAUCUCCGUACAGUUCAUUGGAAUGCCUAUGCAACUCUAGGCAGUUUCUUGAUAUCUCUAAUUUAUAAGGUCAUUCUCAAUAUUCACUCUUCGUUCACUUGUGGGUAACAGGCCUGUAAGAGAGGAAUGUCAGCUACACAGCCUCUCAAAAGGUACAGAACACAUUAAUUAAAAACACUUCUAAAAUGACCACUUGUAUCCUUAUAGUUUAAUGGCUAAAAACACAAUAGCUCACAGGUGUCUGGUAUCUGGACUUUUGUAGAUAACACCAUAUAUUCCCAACUAGUGCAUCUUUGUCAUAGAGGCUGCAGCCCACAUUCAAGUUUGGUGGACAUGUCUACACAUUCAGCAGAAAUGUGGGCAGAUCUUUAGAAUCAUUCAUUUAGCUUGUGGGACCUCCCUUAUCCAAUGAAUUGCACAACUGAACUGUUCAGGCCGAAUACCAAAAUCAGCCUUCAAACUGAUACACCACCUUUAAAUUGAUACCAGAAUAUAUGUCACCAAGUCAUGGAAAGGUCCUGUGCCCAAAUUGUGCCAAACCCACCACAUAAUCUGGUAUUUCUACUCCACGGAAAAUAUCACCACCACCCUACACAACAACAACAAGUAAGAAUUUGGGUUGUCAAAGGAUUGAUAGACAACAAGAGUGAAAACAACACACUGAAAGAGGAUUCAACUGCCAAUCAAUACCCCAUGAGGCAACAUGAACUUAGAAACUAGGUAAAAUACUGUUAUAUGGAACGUAUUUGCAGGGUGCAGAGAAUUAACUAGGAAAACUAGUUGAGCUAAAAAAAAAGCAGAGUUGGAGAUUUUUUUCAGUUCUGCAAAUUUGACAUAAACCCCAGUAAGUAUUUGUCUGUAGACAUUUAUUUUUACUAUUGUGUUCUGUGUGCAGUUUUCCAUUUCUUUAAAUAACAUCACAUAUCCACCUGAUGUAUUUUUAAUAUUGAGAUGAGAACUCAUAGUAAUACUUAUAAAUACAUUCUGUCUUCUAAAACCCUCGCCCAUUUGUCUAAACUAGAAUAGAUGACCAUUAAUUAGAUUUAUUGCAAUCUACCAUAUGCAGUAUGCGAUCAGAAGGAUGGGACAUACUGUGACCAGUGCCAUUAAAUCACUCUGUACUAACGGUUUAAUUCCAAAUUCGGAUGACCCACUCAACUGAUGACUGGUGGGUAAUAAUUACGACAUUCAGUAUUGGCCUAGUUGUACGUAAGGUCCAGUUUGGGCCAAAGGUAGCAUUUGAUUUUUAAGGGUUAAAAUCAAAACUGAAAAAUGCAUGUGAAAUAUUGCCAGAAGAAAGCAAAUUAGGUUGUUGAAAGGCUCUCACAGUUGCACUUCUGAAUUGGUGAAGUGCUGCAUUGGGUCUUUUAAUUAGAGAAGCUGGAAAGAAAAUGACGAAUCAGCACAUUCUUUGGAGAGAAGGAGGGAGCAUUUUCACAGACAAAGAGACAUAAACCCCUGUUGUUCUGUCUAAAUUUAGCUGCUGCUAUCCAAGCCCUCUGGAGGAAGAAAGAAAUGUAUAAAAGUGUAGAGUUCUGGAUGUUGAAAGGAUGGAGAUUACAUUUUGCAGCUGGUCUUUUCCUGCCAAUAGACAGGCACGCAGGUUUCCCAGUAUCGUGAUAAUAAGAUUGCUUGAUUCACUAGAAACUAAGGACUGGCUUACUAGAGUGCUGCUUCAUGUGAAUAUAUUUCUGCCAGAGCUGGAUUUAAAUUGCCCAGGGUCCUAAGCUGGAUGCCAGAUUGGGGUCCUCUCCUAGAUUUUGGUUUCUGAGAGUGUUGUGGAUGAGUGUUGUAUGUGUGUGGUGGAGACUGAGUGUUAUGUGUGUGAAGGAGAGUUGUGUGUGGAGCUGAUUGUGCCUGUGCGUGUGUGAUGUUGCUGAAAUCUGUGUGAGGAGAAGUCUGAGUGUUGUCUAUCAGUAUGUGAAUCUGACUAUGCGUGACAAAUUUUUUAAUUUAUCCCAUCAUGCUUACCUUUUGGAAAGAGUGUAAUCCCUCGCAGUCCAGAGGAGGUCAGUCUUCGCAGGAUUCCUGGAAUAGGGGAUCAUUGUCGUCUGCACCUUCAUCAGUUGCAGAUCACUUUAAGUGCUCCCUUUCCAUUUUGGCUUUUAGCCAAUGACUCAGAGCAUUAGGGGACUACGAGGGAGCUCUUACAGUGGUCUGCAGACAAUAUUUUUGCAGAACACAACGCUUCUUUGAGCAGGUGAGGUGGUACAAUUCUGAGCAGGGGUGACUUAUUGACCUCAUUGCCAGCUGAAGGAGGGCCUCCUCAUUUGUAUUCCUGACCCUAUAGUGUUCCUUUAAAGAGCUCCCUUUCAGUUCUGACAUUCAGUCAAUGACUCAGAGCACUGGAGAAUGGCAAAGGAGUUCUUACAGUGGUCUGACCAUAACGCUCCCCCGAGCAGGUGAGGUGGCACAAGGGCAAGCACGGGUGACUUAUGGAUUUCCCUUACAGCUGAAGAUGGGUCUUCUCAAAGUCAAAGUCAGAGCUCCAUGUCCAGACAAGGGCCCACCAGGCCCCUGUUUGAGCACGGCCCCUAGGUGGCCGCCUAAUGGGUAAUUUGGUCUGAUUCCUGCUUUGCUUACAUAGGCAUAUAUUGUGUUCCAUAAACUAUGGUUUAUUUUCUAAAUUGUGAAUUACUAUAAAUGUAAUACUAAUUUUCAAAAUCGAGGCCAAAAUUCACGUUGUUGGCUCCGAUAACAUAUCCCUUUAAUAUUCAAUGGGUGAUAUAUAUCAAGGCAAAACAGGUGCAGUUUUGGGGUGCAUGUUGCUUAAUGCUGAGAGACAUGGAGAUGGGAACUAUUGGGAAGUAUACACAUACCACAGCAUAGAACACAUAAUUUGCAUGAUCUCAUGAACACACACCACAUUGCGUGUAGAACUUUAAAAUAAAUAAGGGGCGAGGACAGAUCAUUGUCCACUGACUGCUCCCAUAUGUGGCCAGCGAUUGGAGGCUCUUUAAUAAAAGAGAUUGGGUGGGACAUCCUAAUGCCUCCAUGUGGCCUCACCUGUGUUCAGAUCUGGUGUUUUGGGGGAACCCCUCCCUUUUCUUUUCUUUUCUUUUCUUCUCUUACAGGCAUCAUCCCAUGGGACACUGGGCAUUGAUAGUCUCAUUAUCUGAUCUUUUAUAUUCUGACUAUCUGCAUGCAGCCAUACCCACUAUCUUCACUCAGAUUGUUCCAGUAUCAAAAUACAUCCACCGUUUCCACACAGAAAGGCACUAUAUGUGUGCACAAAUAUACUUGCAAUGGCAAUGAAAAGAUAGUAAGCCCCUCCGAAUUAUCCUUAUUUCUGAAUUUCUUGUUAAGAAAAACUAAUAAACUGAAAACUAAAUGCCUUUUCUAGUCUUGUAUCAACAUUCACUGUCUCUUUUCAUUGUAUCAACAUUUCACGCUUCUGAUAACCAGUCCCUUAAAUCAGGCUUUCAAAAGAAGGUACACCCUCUUUGAAUUAUAUGGUUUUGCAUAUCUAGACAUAAUAAUAAUCUGUUCCUGAGCAGGUCUUAAAAUUAGGUAAAUACAACCCCAGAUGAACCACAACACAUGACAUGUUACACAGUGUCAUGAUUUAUUUAACAAAAAUAAAGCCAAAAUGGAGAAGCCAUGUGUGAAAAACUAAGUACACCUGAUUCAAUAGUUUGUAGAACCACCUGUAGCAGCAAUUACUUGAAGUAAUUGUUUUCUAUAUGACUUUUUAUCAGUCUCUCACAUCGUUGUGGAGAAAUGUUGGCCCACUCUUCUUUCUGACUUUGCUUCAGUUCAUUGAGGUUUGCUGACGUUUGUUUAUGCACAGUUCUUUUACAGUCCUACCACAGCAUUUUAAUCGGGUUGAGGUGUGAAUUUGUGGCUCGGUGAUUGCAACACCCGGAUUCUUUCCUUUUUUCAGCCAUUCUGUUGUAGAUUUGCUGGUGAGCUUGGGACUAUGGUCCAAUUUCAGUCAAGCAUUAGCUGUCGGACGGAUGGCCUCACACUUGACUCUAGAAUACUUUGGUAGACAGAAGAGUUUAUGGUCGACUCGAUGACUGCAAGGUUGCCAGGUCCUGUGGCUGCAAAACAAGACCAAAUCAUCACCCCUCCAUGCUUGACAGAUAUGAGGUGUUUGGGUUUUGGCAAACAUGGUGCUGUGCAUAUUUUUUUUGCAAGUAUGUGCAUUAUGGCCAAACAUCUCCACUUUGGUCUCGCCUGUCCAAAGGAGAUUGUUCCAGACGUUUUGAUGUUUGUUCAGAUACAACUUUACAAACUGAAGCCAUGCUUUCCUCUUGACAACCCUUCCAAACAAACCAUACUUUUUCAGUCUUUGUCUAAUUGUACUGUCAUGAGCUUUAAUAUUUAACAUGCUAACUAAGGCCCAUAGAUUCAGCCUCUAAGUUCCUAUGGAAGCAGCAAGGGUGUAGUUAGGUUUUCUAUGAAUAUUGACUGUUUUAAAUGGUUUCAUCAUAUUAUACACUGUGACACUGGUAAAAAUGGUCGAUUGCUGGUGAUUAUUGAACUCAAGAUUGCUUUACGGAGUCUGAGUAUGGCUUUUUCCAUACGAGCCAUUUUUGAAACACUUAAAGGAACACUCGAUAUACAUAAAACACUUCAUAUUGCUGAAGUGUUUUGUGUGUGAACUGUCUGUCUCCUGACUCUUUUAAAAAAAGUACCAACUUCAAAAUUCCCAGUUUUAUAAUUAUCCCUAAUUACACCUUCCUGGCUUUUAAUCAAACAGCCAGAUGGGUUUUCUGCCUUACUCACUUUAAGUGUUUGCUCAAAGUGGAAGUGAUAUCUUCAAUUGCCUCACAUGCGCUGUGGUACUUAACUGCUUAUCUAAGAGCUGCAUUGGAUAGGCCUGAGAGCAGGCUGUCUUGCCCCUGGAUUUGAGAUAGGUAACUUCAUUUUGGGACACAGGGGAGUGGGGGUUCUAUAUAUAACUAUAAAUAGAACACUCCAAUGUUAGAAACAAUUGUAUUUAUUUUUAAGGUUGUAGUGUUCCCUUUAAUUAUGUUACUUAUUUUUUAUUUAUUUUUUCAUAUUCUAGAAAAUUGGAAGACUAUCAAGCCAGAAUAGCCCCACCCACUUGUUUGGAUAAAGGACUUUUCCUGGAAUACAGCAUUUUGUUUUUGUCAAACAAUGUCAG